Molecule: long non-coding RNA, 65147 nt
Filed under: Nicotiana tabacum (common tobacco)
Lineage: Eukaryota; Viridiplantae; Streptophyta; Magnoliopsida; Solanales; Solanaceae
Description: long non-coding RNA (NTAB_LNC000015)
Source: RNAcentral
UUGAAAUAAACCUUUGUUUAGACCAAUAUAACAAUGUUAUCUGCUACUUUGAAGAAUAGCUGUCUCAAUUUGUGACUGCAAGUCACCCCUGAUAAUUUGAUGCCCUCCCCCUUUCUAUGAUGUUGUUUUGGUUUUCUUGAUAAUAACAUUAGGUUAAGUACUUGGCCUACUUCAAGCAUGCUUUAACUCAUUCUGCACCUAUGGCUUUGCCAAACUUGCAAACAUGCUUUGCCAAUUUUUAGCAUGUAACUGUUGUUGUGCUGAGUAUGAAACCUAUUUAUCAGCUUCAUUAAACUAGUUCUUGCUUGCAUUUUGUGAUGCAUUUAAGUGUCUGCUUGUUGACUCAAUUUGGUUAUGUCUAUUUAAAUCAAUUCAUGUUUUUCUCAAUUUUGGUCUUUCUCUUCUGUCACUAAAACUCUUUAAAUCCCAUUCUUAGCCAAUGCUGCCUAAAUUCUGUCCUUUGGCCUUUCUAGUGUGAGCACUGCUCGGAGUUCAUUAGAGACCUUUGUGAACUCUGACACACUAGGAUUUGGUCCCUAAUCCCUCCUUGAACUAUCUUGGUUAACCACCCUAGUGUGAGCACUGCCCUGGGUUCUUGAAGCCCUUGGGAACUCUGACACACUAGGGCCUUGGUUCUAUAUGCUCAACCUUGUCAUGUGCUCACUCGGUGAAUUACUCAACUAUUGGCUAUUUUGUAUCUAUGAAUAUGUAACUUUGGGGCUGUUGUGAAUUGUGAGAAUGAAGGUCUGGCCUGUCCGGGUGUAUUUGGGCCUGCUGUAGGCUCCCUAUAGCUAUAUCUACUCUGUAAUUUACUAUAUUCGUUCUGGGUCUGUAAUAAUUAUUGUAACAAUAUUUGGGGUAUUAGUGAAACUGGGAAAGAGAUUUUUAUCUUAUACUUGCAACAAGUUGGGUAGAAAUUCUGCCUAUAGGUUUGAUAAUGUGUUAUUGUAUGUCGUGUGUUAGAAAUCAUGCCUAUAGGUAUCUUAUCAUGUUCAGUCAUUGUAUGUUAGCAAUCCUGCCUAUAGGUCCAAUACUUGGUUCAAUUGUGUUCUUUUUCUGCUUGUUAGAAACCCUGCCUAUAAGAAAUAGUGUGAUUCAAUGUGCAUACAAAGUUUUGUUUACAUGUUGCCCUACUCGCGAAUUAUAGAAAUCAUGUCUAUAGGGUCUAAAAUCGGAUUAAUUGUAGAAAGCAUGCCUAUAGGUCUGAAUCCGUUCAAUUAUCAUUUUGCCCGUUUGUUCAGGAGUUUUCAAUCACUGUGUUAUUAUCCUCACUAGAAAACAUGCCUAUAGGGUCAAAACAAGUAAUUUUGAAUAUGCCUCUGUGAUUGCCACUAUUUAUUAUUGCGUAAAAUACCUAGACAUCAUGCCAGUAGGUUUAAUCUCAUUAUGCUAAAAUUAGUAGGCAAAUCAUGUAGGUUUUGGUAAUCGUAUUAAGGAAUGACUUUUGUGUAUAACUGUCUGCCCAUUAAUUCAGUAUCACAUAGAGACGUUGCCUAUAGGAUUUUGCAACUUUAAUUAAUUAAAAUUUGUCAAUAUUAAUCAGUUUGGCGUACAUUUGUUGUCUAAAUGCGGAGCCUAACUUGAGCCCUUACUUGCUUAUAUGUGAAAUUCCUAAACUGUUUUGUAUGUCGCUUAGUAUUGUCCCUUUUGAGCAACUUAAGUUAAAGUCUAGAAUCACCCUAAAAUAAAGGUCCAAAUGCCUCCUGGACCAUAGGCAGGGGACGGGUAGUGCACGCAUAGAGCACGAUUUAGAAUUGAACUUUAGGUAAACAACUUAAAGAUAGUAAUCAGGUAGCAGGAGAUGAUAGUCUGUGCCCGCUGAAUAAUAUGAGUAACACCCCAUCUUGAAGGAGUUACGAAAUAUUAUUUAUGUUGUACGGGGUGAUCCUUUAGGCUAAAAAACUUAGGACCCCCACCUCUGUUUAAAGUCAAUCAUUUAUUUUACUGCCCAAAUCGUUUCCAUUCCCUUAGACUAAUUCAUAUAAUUCGAGUUCGGCCAGGACCUACCGUUGUGGACCUCGAGGAGUGCCUAACACCUUCUCCUCAAGGUAAUUUGAGCCCUUACCCGAUCUUUGGUGACGCAACUGGUUAAUCCAGAGUUAUUUGCAAAUAGGUGCCCUAACGCAUCUUAACCCGUUAGGUGGCGACUCUCUAUUUUAAUACACUUCCUUAAAAGAGUUGUCACGUGUCGAAACCCGAUUUUACGAGAAAAAAGGGCGCGACAUCAAGUUGGUAUCAGAGCUCUAGGUUCAUAGGUAUUUUGAGUCACAAGAAGGUUUAGUAGAGUCUCGCGGAUCGGUACCGAGACAUCUGUACUUAUCUUCAAGAGGCUAUGGAACUGUUAGGAAAGCUUCACUUCUUUGAUUCCUUAUCGUGCAAAUUUGUUGACUUCAAAAUUCUAAAUCUCUACCUUUCUAUUCUGUCACAUAUAGUGAGGACAAGCACAGCUGGAUCUGAUGAUCAGACAUUCGUGCCCACUGCUAGAGCCGCAAAAGGCUGGGGCCGGGGUAGAGGCCAAGGACAGGCACGUGGUGUAGCUAGAGCACCUGUAUGAGAUGCUAAUGAGGAGCCACCAGUAGCUCCAGUUGGGGGGCAGGCACCCGAGAUGCCUGUUACUACCCUUGUUCUUCGGGAGACCCUCGCCAAGUGUUUGAGCAUGUUUGGCACUCUAGCAAAGGUAGGGUUGAUUCCACUUGCUCUUUCCACACCCCAGGCUGGGGGAGGAGCACAGACUCCCGCAGCCCAUACCCCAGAGUAGCAGGUCCAGGUUGACCAGGUCCCAGAGGUCAUACCAGUUUAGCCGGUUGUCCUAGUUUAGCCCGGGUUACGGUAGCAGCAUCUGAGUAGGAACAUAUCUUGCUCAAGAGGUACAAGAAGUACCAUCCUUCUACAUUCAGUGGCCUAGCUACAAAGGACGCACAGGGUUUUCUUGAUGAGUGCCUUCGUAUCCUCCGUACUAUGGGUAUUGUGGAGUCGAGUGGGGUUGCUUUCACUAUGUUCCAGUUUAACAGAGUGACUUAUUAGUGGUGGCAAGCAUACGAGUUGGGUAGGGGUCGAGGCAGCUGCACUCACAUGGGCUCAGAUUUCAGAGAUGUUCAUGAGAGAGUUUGUUCCCCAGAGCCUUUAUGAUGCAUGGCGCACGGAGUCUGAGCAGCUGCGCCAGGGUGCUAUGACCGUAUCAAAGUAUGUUGUCAAGUUCAGUGAGUUGUCCAGACAUGCACCAGCCUUAGUCUCCACAGUCAUAGAGCGAGUGUCGAUUUAUCAAGGGGCUCAACCAUGGUAUUAGAUUCAGCAUGGCUCGAGAGUUAGAAACGGAUACCCUGUACCAACAGGUUAUAAAGAUCGCUCGAAGAUUGGAGGGUAUGUACGGCCAGGAGAGAGAGGAGAGGGAGUCCAAGAGGCCUCGAGAUUCUAGCACAUAUAGCGGUGCCCUAUUACAUCUCAUGUUUUUCGUACGUUAAAGUUUCGUCUUCAGUUAAUUGACGUAGACUCGCGGAUGAGAUUUUUUUGAGAUUAUAAGCAUUAUGCUAUUUCAAACACGUGAUGAGUAAAUUCGUGAAGGAGAAAAGGUAAGCUAAUAGAAGAAAAUGAGUUUUGUCGAAGUUUGGCAAUUUGAAAUAAAAUUCGGUCCAAACUAUAAUACCUGGUAUUUAUGGACUAGUGUCAUAUAAGGUACUACAUGACCAUGAUAUUAAGGUGUACAAGGUAUGUUAAAAGUGAGUAGUAUUUUAAGUACGUGGAGAUAAUUUUUAAUUAUAUAGGUAAUUGGUUAAUUAUUGGGUAAUAGGAUAUUACCUAAUUAAUUGGGGAUAUAUUGUAUAAGAAUUAAAAUGGCAUUAUGUGGCAGCCCCCCCUCCCAAUUCAUAUUAAGUGACUCAUAAUCUAGAUUGAAGGUGGCCAACUAAAAGUUAUACACAUGACACUUACGUGUAAAGACAUAAAUGAGAAGUUUGGCAUUUUGGCUUUAUUUGGCCUUAAGAUAAUCAAGUAAGUAAUCUUAUCAUUUUCUUCCUAUUUCAAAAAUUGCAAAACAGACGUUAGAAAUUCCUACAAGGAUUCAUAACAUCUUCAAAUAAGAAUUCAUAACAUCUUCAAAGAGAAUUCAUAACAUCUUCAACCAAUUCCUACAAAAUUCCAACGAGAUUUUUUUAGCACCUUAGCAACUUGAGAUUUUGCAAUUCUAAGGGAGUACGGUGCAACCUUUUUCAAGAAUAUCAUACGGAUUUUUUCUUACUCCAAAUAUGUUAAGGCUAAACCCUUCCUUCAUUUUGGCAUGAUCUCGUAAUUAUAUGAGUUUGAUAACGAGGCUUAAAGAGAAAUUCAUAUUGCUGAAUUUAUGUACAUUUCCUAGUCGUAUAAGUUACAAUAUUCUCCCUUAUCGAGAUAUUAUAUUCGAUUGAGUAUUAUUUUCUUCCAGUCAAGAGAGUAGAGCUUCUAUACAUACAGUAUUUUCACCACCAUCAAGCUAUAAUCGGUGGGCAAACCCCUAUUGGGCAACCUCUGAUCAGAUGGUAAGUUAUAUACCGAGCCUAUUGUGGCCCAGCGCCUAUGAGCGAGCCCAGUUGGCCGAGAUACAAAGCCUAGUAUGGCCGAGCGCCUAUGAGCGAGGCUACUACGCCAGAGCAGUUAUAUAUAUACCGAGCCAUAUAAGGCCGGACAACUAUUUUACUUACUGUAUUGAGAGAGUUGAUUUAGUAUCAGCAGGUAAGCAUAUCUUUAUAUUAUCUUUGACUCUCAGUUACUUCAGUUAUUAUAUUAUCAGUUCAGUUUUAGCUUUCAGUUAUUUUAUUGCCUUGCAUACUCGGUACAUUAUUUCGUACUGAUGUCCCUUUUUCGGGGGAUGCUGCAUUUCAUGCGUGCAGGUUCAGACAGACAGAUGGGUAGACUCCUCAGUAGGUGUUGCCCGAGUUUAGCUUUAUCGGUAAGCUCCACGUCCUUCGGAGUUGCCAGGUCUAGAAGUUUUGUUUACAUCUUAUGUAUAUAUGUAUAUAGGUUAUGGGUAGGUCGGGGCCCUAUUCCGAUCACAGUACAACCAUCAGUAGUAGGCUUGUAGACAUAUACAUNNNNNNNNNNNNNNNNNNNNNNNNNNNNNNNNNNNNNNNNNNNNNNNNNNNNNNNNNNNNNNNNNNNNNNNNNNNNNNNNNNNNNNNNNGUAGUUAUGACGGCCUUGUCGGUCCAGCUUUAUAUUGAUGCUUAGUCUGCAUUCGCAAGUGUCUUGCAAUGUGGCUCAUGGCCAAAGUAUGACAUUAUAUAUUCGGAGUCUCUUAGUCGCAAGUUGGUAUGCAAGGAUAGGUGAGGCACCGGGUGCUGGUCUCGCCCCCCAAGAUCGGGGCGUGACAAAAGUGGUAACAGAGCAGUUCUAUCCUAGGGAGUCUACAAAGCCGUGUCUAGUAGGGUCUUGUUUAUUGAUGUGUGGUGGACCGCAUUAUAUAAGCAGGGGACUACAGGGCAUUUAGGAGUUGAUUACCCUUCUUUCAAAUCUAAAACGUGCUAUAGAACUGAGUUAUAGGAAAUUUGAGUUAAACUUACGUGUUGGCAUUUGCAUGCACAGAUGACGAUGACUAGGAAGUCUACGGCUAGCCAGAGGAGAGAUACAGCAGGAGGUGGGGGACUAGCAGGGUAACCCCAGUAGAUGGGGCCCAAUCGGAGGCCCAGGGAGAGACCCCUACUCAGCCGUUACCGGCUCCUCCACCACCAGAGGAGAUUCCUAAGGAGACCGCACAUCCAGUUCCCCCUCUGCUUCUAUCGGAUCAGGAAUUGAGGGGUGCGGUGCAUUUGUUGACAUAGUUGGUAGCUACCCAGUAACAGGCUAGGGCAUCCGCUAGUGCAGGAUCUUUUGAGGGGUCUGGGAGUUCAAGGGUCCAAGAGUUUAUUGCUUUGAGUCCCCCAAAGUUCACGGGGACAGAUCAGAGGGAGGACUCGCAGGAUUUCAUAGAUCAGUUUCACAUGAUCUUUCGGGUUAUGCAUGCCACGGAGAAAGAGACAGUUGAGUUAGCCACUUUUCGACUCCGAGAUAUAGCCAUCCUUUGGUACGAGGGAUGGGAAAGGUCCAGGGGACGUGAUGCACCUCCAGCUAUUUGGGAGGAUUUUUCGGAUGCCUUCCUUGACUAGUACUUACCGCGGGAGAUCUGACAGGCUUGAGUCGAUCUAUUUUUACCUCAGGCACGGAAAUAUGAGUGUUCGAGAGUAUAGUUACCAUUUUGACUCAUUGGCCAGAUAUGCACCAUCCAUAUUUGCUACUAUGGGGGACAGGAUUCACAAGUUUAUAGCAGGGUUAGCCCCAGAGUUGACCGAGGCAUGUGCCACCGCUACAUUGCAGGAUAGUAUGGAUAUCUCCCGGAUUCAAGCAUUCGCCCAAAAUAUAGAAAGGGGUAGGCGUCGGCAGCAGGGUACAAAGAGGACUGAGUUGGGAUAGCGUAAGAGGAUGAGAUUUGCCAGGUCUCAGGAGCAGUCUUAGAGUAGUUAUAGUCCCCGGUACUUCGAAUGGCCAACUAGGCCUCUGCCACCUCAGUUACAGGGUUACAGGUAUGACCGUUAUACUCAAUCAGGACUAAAUGAGAGCUCACAUGCAUCGGGUUUGCAGCGACAGCGAGGUUCACGGCAGAUAUGGUCAUUUUCGUUGCGGUGUGACAUCUGUGGUAGAGUACACUUGGGCCAAUGCCGAGUCGGUUCCGAUGCUUGUUAUACAUGUGGACAUCCGGGGCAUAUGAUGUGAGAUUGCCCAAAUAGAGAUUUUGGGGGUAUGGCAUAACAAGCGAAUUCAGUAAUAGGAUCAUCUAUAUCCAUGCAUCCUUCAGGGCGCGAGUCUCAAUCUUCGGCUGGUAGAGGUCGAGGCAGAGGUAGAGGUUCCAGUUCACGUAGUAACCAGAAUCGUAGCUAUGCUUUAGCGGGUCGACAGGACCAGGAAUCUUCACCAGACGUUGUGACGGGUAUGUUGACCAUUUGCUCUCAUGAUGCUUAUGCCUUGAUAGACCCAGGAUCUACUUUAUCGUGUAUUACCCCAUUUGUCAGUGGGAAGUUUGGUAUAGUGCCUGAAAUACUAAGUGAUCAUUUUGCGGUAUCUAUACCGGAUGGAGAAUCGAUUAUUGCUAGAAGGGUUUAUCGAGGUUGUACGGUGUCAGUUUAUGGUAGUCAGACCUCAACCGACCUAGUUGAGCUAGAGAUGUUGGAUUUUGAUGCUAUCAUGGGCAUGGACUGGUUGGCAUCUUGCUAUGCCACAGUUGAUUGUUGAGAAAAGACAGCCAGAUUUCAUUUUCCGGGUGAGCCAGUCCUUGAAUGGGUAGGUAAUACAGCAACACCCGGAGGUAGGUUUAUUUCCUAUCUGAAGGCAAGGAAAAUGAUCGCAAAAGGGUGCAUUUAUCAUAUUGUGCGAGUUAGAGAUGUAGAUGCAGAGAUACCUACACUUCAGUCUAUUCCAGUAGUAAAAGAGUACGCGGAUGUAUUUCCAGAUGAACUUCCAGGUGUUCCUCCAGAGCGAGAGAUUGAUUUUGUUAUCGAUUUUCUUUUGGGAACUCAACCAAUAUCCAUCCCUCCGUAUAGAAUGGCACCUGCCGAAUUGAAGGAGUUGAAGGAGUAGUUAAAAGAUUUGCUGGAGAAAGGUUUUAUUAGGCCCAGUACCUCACCUUGGGGUGCACCGGUACUGUUUGUACGCAAGAAAGACGGCUCGCUGAGGAAGUGUAUCGAUUAUAGGUAGCUGAACAAGGUAACUAUUAAGAAUAAGUACCCACUUCCAAGGAUAGAUGACUUGUUUGAUCAGUUGUAGGGAGCUAGAUGCUUUUCAAAGAUAGAUUUGAGGUCGGGGUACCACUAGGACAGAGUUCGAGAGAAAGAUAUUCCCAAGACAGCCUUCAGGACCCGAUAUGGCCACUUUGAGUUCCUUGUCAUGUCCUUCGGGUUGACGAAUGCACCUGCCGUAUUUAUGGCUUAAUGAAUAGCCUAUUCCGGCCAUUUUUAGAUCUAUCGCGAUAGUAUUUAUUGAUGACAUUUUGGUUUAUUCACGUUCAGAGGAUGAGCAUGCGGACCACCUGCAAGCGGUACUACCACUCCGACAGAGGUUCGUAGCUUUCUAGGUUUAGCAGGAUACUACAGGAGGUUCGUAGAGGGAUUUUCUUCCCUUUUGGCACCAUUAACAAAGUUGACGCAGAAAGCAACUAAGUUUCAGUGGAUGGAGGCUUGCGAGCAGAGUUUCCAUGAGCUUAAGAACAGGUUGACCUCAGCGCCAGUUCUAGCACUUCCAGAGGGUCCAGAUGGUUAUGCCAUGUAUUGCGAUGCCUCAGGUGUCGGGUUAGGAUGUAUCCUGAUGCAACAUGGGAAAGUAAUUGUGAAUGCUUCAAGGUAGUUAAGGAAGCACGAGCGGAAUUAUCUGACCCACGACCUCGAGUUAGCUGCGGUUGUCCAUGCACUUAAGAUAUGGCGGCAUUAUUUAUAUAGUGUUCAUGUUGAUGUAUUUACAGAUCAUAAAAGCCUGCAAUAUAUCUUUAAGCAAAAAGAGUUGAAUUUAUGACAGAGGCGAUGGCUUGAGUUAUUGAAAGAUUACGAUGUUAACAUUCUCUACCAUCCAAGGAAAUCUAAUAUGGUAGCAGAUGCCUUAAGUCGCCGAUCUAUGGGUAGCUUAGCACAUGUAGAGGCCGAAAAAAGACAAUUAACUAGAGAGAUUCAUCAAUUGGCUUGUUUAGGGGGUGAUUCGUAGACUCUGACGAUGGUGGAGUUGUACUCCAAAAUACUGCAAAAUCAUCUCUCACAGCUGAAGUAGAGGAGAGGCAGUACGAGGACCCAGAGUUGGUCGAGUUGAGAGAGCGAGUUCCGCAGCAGAAGAAGUCGUUGUUAGAACUCAAGGGAGAUGGGGUUCUCGGAUACAGGGGUCGUUUGUGUGUUCCAGAAGUAGCAGGGCUACGAGACAGGAUUAUGUCAGAGGCACAUUAUUCGUGGUACUCCAUUCAUCCUGGGUCGACGAAGAUGUAUCAUGACAUUAAAGAUGUGUACUGGUGGAAUGAUAUGAAAAAAGACAUUGCUGAGUUUGUCGCUCAGUGUCCUAGUUGCCAGCAGGUGAAGGUAGAGUACAAGAAGCCUGGAGGGCUAAUGCAGACUAUAGAGAUCCCAACAUGGAAAUGGGAGGCGAAAAACAUGGACUUUAUCAGGGGUUUACCUCAUUCUCAUCAUAAGCUCGAUUCCAUAUGGGUGAUAGUCGAUAGGCUCACAAAAUUAGCUUAUUUCUUACCAGUCAGAUCUACAUAUAUAGCAGAAGAUUAUGCAAAGCUAUAUAUUAAGGAGAUAGUACGGCUACACGGAGUACCAGUAUCUAUUUUAUCUGACCGUGGGGCCCAGUUUACAACACAUUUUUAGAGGUCAUUUCAGAAAGGUCUAGGGAGUUAGGUGAAUCUCAGCAUAGCUUUUUAUCAACAGAUUGAUGGACAAGCUGAGCGCACAAUUCAGACGCUCAAGGAUAUGUUACGAGCAUGUGUGUUGGAUUUUAAAAGAAGUUGGGAUGAACAUCUACCUCUUAUCGAGUUUGCAUAUAAUAACAGUUACCACUCUAGUAUCCAGAUGGCUCCGCACGAGGCUUUGUAUGGGCGUAAGUGCAGAUCUCCUAUAAGGUGGUUUGAUGUUGGAGAAUCUGGGUUACAUGGGCCAGACCUGGUUCAGUAGGUCGUAGAGAAAGUAAAGCUUAUCCGGGAGCGACUGUUGACAGCCCAAAGUCGUCAAAAGUCAUAUUAUGACGUGCGGCGACGAGACUUAGAGUUCGGGGUUAAUGACUGGGUAUUCUUAAAAGUGUCACCUAUGAAGGACGUGAUGAGGUUCGGCGAGAAGGGCAAGCUUAGCCCACGGUAUAUUGGUCCUUAUAGGAUUAUUCGGAGAGUGGGCCAAGUAGCUUAUGAGUUGGAAUUGCCCUUAGAAUUGGAGUCUGUCCAUCCGGUUUAUCACGUAUCCAUGCUACGGAAGUGCAUUGGCGAUCCUACCCGAGUGGUGCCCACAGAUGAUGUACAGAUUAUGGAGGACUUUUCAUACGAGGAAAUUCCAGUUGCCAUCCUAGACCGACAAAUCUGUAAGCUUUGAAAUAAGGAGUUAGCCUCCGUGAAGGUUUUAUGGAGGAGCAAUAAUGUGGAAGAGAUGACGUGGGAAGCGGAGGAAGAAAUGAAGUCUAAAUACCCCCCACCUAUUUCAAACUGAAGAUAUAGCUCGAGGUGAGAUACCUCAGCACAGCUCUAUUCAGGCCAGUAGGUCAUCAGGUAAGCUCUUAUAUUUGACUUUCAGAAUUUAUAAUGGACAGCUGUGUGAAGCCAAGUGUUGCUAUUUAUAAAGAUGGGCCAUGUGUGGCAUGUAUAGUCUAUUUUCUGGCUACGUACAGGUUGGUUUUAGUCUGGUUCACAGAGGAGACUCUGGAAAAAUUUUCCCAAAAUCUCUAAGAAAAAACAUUCGAGGACGAAUGUUUUUAAGGGGGGAAGGAUGUUACAUCUCUCGUUUUUCGUGCGUUAAAGUUUUAUCUUCAGUUAAUUGACGUAGACUCGGGGAUGAGAUUUUCUUGAUAUUAUAAGCAUUAUGCUAUUUCAAACACGUGAUGAGUAAAUUCGUGAAGGAGAGAAGGUAAGCUAAUAGAAGAAAAUGAGUUUCGUCAAAGUUUGGCAAUUUGGGAUAAAAUUCGGUCCAAACUAUAAUACUCGUUAUUUAUGGACUAAUGCUAUACAAGGUACUACAUGACCAUGAUAUUAAGGUGUACACGGUAUGUUAAAAGUGAGUAGUAUUUUAAGUAAGUUGAGAUAAUUCUUAAUUAUGUGGGUAAUUGGUUAAUUAUUGGGUAAAAGGAUAUUACCUAAUUAAUUGGGGAUAUAUUGGAUAAGAAUUAAAAUGGCAUUAUGUGGCAGCACCCCCCUCCCCCCCAUUCAGAUUAAGUGACUCAUAAUCUAGAUUGAAGGUGGCCAAAUAAAAGUUAUACACUUGACACUUACGUGUAAAGAAAUAAUGAGAAGUUUGGCAUUUUGUCUUCAUUUGGCCUUAAGAUAAUCAAGUAAGUAAUCUUAUCAUUUUCUUCCUAUUUCAAACAUUGCAAAACAGACAUUAGCAAUUCCUACAAGUAUUCAUAACAUCUUCAAAUGAGAAUUCAUAACAUCUUCAAAGAGAAUUCAUAACAUCUUCAACCAAUUCCGACAAAUAUUCCAACGAGAUUUCUUAGCAGCUUAGCAACGUGAGAUUUUGCGAUUCUAAGGGAGUACGGUGCAACCUUUUCCAAGAAUAUCAUAUGGAUUUUUCCCUACUCCGGGUAUGUUAAGGCUAAACCCUUCCUUCAUUUUGGCAUGAUCUCAUAAUUACAUGAGUUUGAUAACGAGGCAUAAAGAGAAAUUCAUAUUGCUGAAUUUAUUUACAUUUCCUAGUCUUAUAAGUUACAAUAUUCUCCCUUAUCGGGAUAUCAUAUUCGAUUGAGUAUUGUUUUCUUCCAGUCAAGAGAGCAGAGAAUCUAUAUAUACAGUAUUUUCACCACCAUCGAGCUAUAAUCGGUUGGCAAACCCCUAUUGGGCAACCUCUGAUCAGAUAGUAAGUUAUAUACCGAGCCUACUGUGGUCGAGCGCCUAUGAGCGAGCCCAGUUGGCCGAGAUAUAAAGCCUAGUAUGGUCGAACGCCUAUGAGCGAGCCUUCUACGGCAGAGCAUAUAUAUAUAUAUAUACUGAGCCUUAUAGGGCCGGACAACUAUUUUACUUACUGUAUUGAGAGAGUUGAUUUAGUAUCAGCAGGAAAACAUAUCUUUAAAUUAUCUUUGACUCCCAGUUACUUCAGUUAUUAUAUUAUCAGUUCAGUUUCAGCUUUCAGUUAUUUUAUUGCCUUGCAUAUUCAGGUACAUUAUUUCGUACUGAUGUCCCUUUUUGGGGGGACGCUACAUUUCAUGCGUGCAGGUUCAGACAGACAUAUGGGUAGACCUCCUCAGUAGGUGUUGCCCGAGUUCAGCUUUAUCCGUAAGCUCCACGUCCUUCGGAGUUGCCGGGUCUAGAAGUUUUGUGUAUAUACGUAUAUAGGUUAUGGGUAGGUCAGGGCCCUGUUCCGAUCACAGUACAACCAUUAGUAGAAGCUUGUAGACAUAUCCUAUCAGUUAGUGCAGUAUGUUGGGCUUGUAGGCCUUUUAUGUAUAUUUUGUUGGUUUGCCAGCUGUAGUAGUUAUGACGGCCUUGUCGGCCUAUCUUUAUAUUGAUGUUUAGUCUGCAUUCGCAACUGUCUUGCAAUGUGGCCCAUGGCCAAAGUAUGACAUUAUAUGUUCGGAGUCCCUUAGUCGCAAGUUAGUACGCAAGGAUAGGUGAGGUAUCGGGUGCCGGUCUCGCCCCCCAAGAUCGGGGCGUGACAUGCCCGUGCCCCAGUUGCAGCCCAUCAUGGUAGAAUCUAUGUGAGUCAUCCCAUUCAUUCAACACUUCCAGCUUCCAGCAGUAUUCCGGCCACUCCCAUGUCUCAGGUUUCCUAUUAUGUACCGCCACUGUCUACUGCACCUCCUGCACGGGGUGCUUUCAGUGGUCAGUCCAGUCGAUCAGGCCCGAGCCAGUCUCAACAACCACGUCCUCCGAGAGCUUGUUUUGAGUGUGGUGACACUCUUCAUAUGGAGAGGGACUUCCGCAUACUCAAGAGGGGUGCACCUCCAUAGACUACUCAAGCUCCAAGUAUUCAACAGGGGCCCCAUACUUCUCAGGCUGUGGUUACCGCACCAGUUGCCACUCCACCUGCACAGCCAGCUAUAGGUGGAGGUCGGGCGAGUAGGGAUCGCCCUAGAGGGGGAGGCCAGGCCAGAUGUUAUGCUAUACCGACUAGGACGGAUGCAGUUGCAUCAGACUCAAUCAUCACAUGUAUUGUUCAAGUUUGUCAUAGAGAGGCAUCAGUCUUAUUUGAUCCAGGCUCCACUUAUUCCUAUGUAUCGUCUUACUUUGCUUGGUAUUUGGGUGUAUCCCGUGAUUCUUUGAGUUCUCAUGUGUAUAUGUCCACGCCUGUGGGAGAUUCCAUUAUCGUUGACCGUGCGUAUCGGCCAUGUUUAGUUAUUCUUGGUGGUUUUGAGACCAGAGCUGAUCUAUUGUUGCUCAUUAUGGUAGAUUUUGAUUAUGGACAUGGACUGGUUGUCGCCCUAUCAUGCUAUUCUUGAUUGUCACGCCAAGACGGUGAUGUUGACUAUGCUAGGUUUGCCAUGCUUGGAGUGGAGGGGUGCUUUGGAUUAUGUUCCUAGCAGGGUGGUGUCUUUCCUUAUGGCACAACAGAUGGUUGUGAAAGGGUGUGAUGCAUAUCUAGCCUUUGUGAGGGAUGUUAGUGUUAAUACUCCUACCUUUGAGUCAGUUCCGAUAGUGAGAGACUAUCUAGAUGUAUUUCUAGCGGAUCUUCCAAGCAUGCCGCCUGAUAGGGAUAUCAAUUUUGGUAUUGAUUUUUUCGGACACUCAGCCCAUUUCUAUUCUGUCAUAUCGUAUGGCCCCAGUAGAGCUGAAGGAGUUAAAGUAGCAGUUACAAGAGUUGCUUGAUAAGAGCUUCAUUCGGCCUAGUGUGUCAUAUUGGGGUGAUCUGGUAUUGUUUAUAAAGAAGAAGGAUGAUUCUAUUCGCAUGUGUAUUGAUUAUCGGCAGUCGAACAAGGUUAAAGUUAAGAACAGUAUCCACUACCACACAUUGAUGACCUAUUUGAUCAUCUACAGAGUGCUAGAGUUUUCUCAAAGAUUGGUCUGCGGUCAGGCUAUCAUCAGUUGAAGAUUCAGGAUCCGGAUAUUCUAAAGACUGCCUUCAAGACUCGAUAUGGUCAUUACGAGUUCCUUGUGAUGUAAUUUGGCUUGACCAAUGCCCCAGCAGCAUUCAUGCACUUAAUGUACAGUGUAUUCCAACCCUAUCUUGACUCAUUCAUCAUUGUGUUUACUGACGAUACCUUGGUGUACUCCCGGAGCCUGGAGGAUCAUGAGCAGCACUUGAGGAUUGUGCUUUAUACCUUGAGAGAAAAGAAAUUGUAAGCAAAAUUUUCAAAGUGUGAAUUCUGGCUUGAUUCGGUGGCUUUUGUGGGACCUCUAGUGUCGAGUGAGCGAAUCAAGGUAGAUCCGAAAAUGAUUGUAGUAGUGCAGAGUUGGAUUAGACCGUCUGCAACUACUGAGAUCCAUAGUUUUCUUGGUUUGGCAAGGUAUUACUGUCGAUUCAUGGAGGGCUUCUAAUCUAUUGUUGCACCUAUGACCAGAUUGAACCAGAAAAGUGCUCCGUUCAGGUGGACCAAGGAGUGUGAGGAGAGCAUUCAAAAUCUCAAUAUUGAUUGACUACAACCCCAGUGUUAGUGUUGCCUACAAGUUCGUGAUCUUACACUGUGUAUAGUGAUGCGUCGCGUUUUGGCCUUGGCAAAGUGUUGAUGCAACACGAUAGGGUGAUUGCCUACGUGUCUAGACAAUUGAAAGUACAUGAGAAGAAUUAUCAUGUCCAUGACCUUGAGUUAGUAGCUAUUGUACCUGCCUUGGAGAUUUGGCGGCACUAUUUGUACAGUGUUCCUUGUGAGAUCUAUACUGACCACCGAAAUCUACAGCAUUUGUUCAAACAGAAGGAUCUUAACUUGCAUCAGUGGAAAUGGUUAGAGCUGCUUAAAGACUAUGAUAUCACCAUUCUAUAUUAUCCCUAGAAGGUCGAUGUGGUGGUCGAUGCCUUGAAUUGUAAGGCGGAGAGCUUGGGCAGUUUAGCAUAUCUAUCAGCAGCGGAGAGGCCAUUAGCAUUGGAUGUUCAGGCCUUGGCCGAACAGUUUGUUAGAUUAGAUGUUUCAGAGCCGAGUUGCAUUUUGGCUUGUGUGGUUUCUCGAUCUUCUCUAUAUGAUCGUAACAGAGUGUCCGUAAGACGAUCCCCAUUUUCUUGUCCUCAGGGACACGAUUCGGCACGGUGAUGCCAAGAAGGUCACUAUUGGGGAUGACGAUGUGUUACAGAUGUACGGUCGGCUAUGUGUACCCAAUGUAUAUGGUUUGCGUGAAUUGAUUCUUCAGGAGGCCCACAGUUCGCGGUACUCCAUUUAUUUGAGUACCGCUAAGAUGUAUCAGGACUUGAGGCAGCAUUAUUGAUGGAGGAGGAUGAAGAAAGACAUGGUGGAGUAUGUAGCUCAGUGCCUAAAUUAUCAACAGGUGGAGUAUGAGCACCAGUGGCCAGGUGGAUUGCUUUAAAGGCUAAAGAUUUCCAAGUGGAAAUAGGAGUAAGUUACCAUGGAUUUCAUUGUUGGGCUCCCACAAACUCAGAGGAAGUUUGAUACAAUAUGGGUGAUUGUGGAUAGAUUGACCAAGUCUGAUCAUUUCAUUCUAGUGGUGAUUACUUAUUCUUAAAAGCAGUUAGGUCAGGUCUAUAUUCGCGAGAUUGUUCGACUUCAUGGCGUACAAGUAUCCAUCAUCUCUGACCAGGGUACGCGGUUAACAUCGCGAUUCUGGAGGGCCGUACAACGUGAGUUAGGCACACGGGUUGAGUUGAGUAUAGCAUUCCACCCUCAGACGGAUGGACACUCCGAGUGCACUAUUCAGAUAUUGGAGGGUCGUGCAUGUGUUAUGGAGCUCGGGGGUUCUUGGGAUCAAUUCUUGGUGCUUGUGGAGUUUUCCUACAACAGCAGCUACUAAUCGAGCACUCAGAUGGCUCCGUAUGACGCCUUGUAUGGGAGGCGGUGUCGGUCUCCGGUAGGGGUGGGCAUAAAAUCUGAAAAUCCGAAAACCGUACCGCACCGAAUUAAUUCGGUAUUUUGAUAUCGGUUCUUCAGUUCUUCGGUCUUAAUUCGGUAUAAUUUGUUCGGGAGUUCGCUACUUCGGUACGGUUUCGAUAUUGAACUUUCGAUACUUCGGUAUACCAAAAUACCGAAUUUUUUAACUAAACCUCCCUUCACUAUCCAACCCAUACUUAUCAAUUCCCAACCCAAAGUUUCAACUUGUUAGUUAGUACCCCUCACCAGUAGCCAAAUAAGACUAAGCCCAUCUUAGUCCCUUACCCUUACUCCCUUUUCCUUUGUCUCUUAUUUUGGUCUGAGAGCUUUAGCAGUAAAGUGGAAUCUAAUUGCUUUCUGACCGAAUUUCAUUUAAUUUGAUCAGCCGCGGGUAUUUCACCCCCAAUGUUAAAAGCUGCUUCAGGUGUAUUAUAAAACUCCACUUUAUACAUCAAGCAACUUUUGUUCUCUCUUACAUUGACAAAAUAGUUCAUGACAAAUAGUACUUGACAAGUUAUUUAACCUAAGCAAAAAAGAUAAGCACUCCCAUAAAAGUAGUUGGAAUGAUUAAUUAGGACAACAUGACUAGCCUAUUCAAUUUUCAAGCAAAACUAUUCGAGAUGGAUUCUACGCCAACUUCUGUCCAUACCGUAAUGUUUCUUCGGAAUUGCAAAAAUCUUAGAAGUCCAAGGUCACUCAGCCGAAUUGUUUUUUGUUUGUUGCCAUAAGCCAUAACUAGGAGUCACAGUAGAUUAUAUAACAAAACGGUUUGUUGUAUGUUAGUGUUACUUCUUGAAUUUGUUUCUUUCUGUUGCCAGAACUAUGCAACUGGACAGUAUAGACUUCAUUAUAUUAGAAUUUCUCAUAUAUUUAUGUAAUUUCUAAUUAAUUAGAAUUCACUACUUACUCGUUCAAGACUUGGUGUGAUACCGAAACCGUACCGAAACAAACAAGAAAAUACUGAACCGUACCGAAUUACUUUGGUACGGUAUUUGGUAUGCACAAUUGAUAAACUAAAUACCGAAAUACCGUACCACAAUUCUUAAAUACCGUACCGAACUACCGAACGGCCACCCCUAGUCUUCGGUGGGUUGGUUUGAGUCGGGCGAGGCUAGACUAUUUGGUACUAACCUAGUUCAGGAUGCUUUGAAAAAAGAUAAAUUUAUUCAAGAUCGGCUUCGCACAGCCCAAUCUAGACAGAAGAAUUAUGUGGACCGGAAGGUUCGCGAUGUUAUGUUCAUAGUUGGGGAGUGGGCCUUGCUCCGGGUUUUACCCAUGAAGGGUGUUAUGAGGUUCGAAAAGAAAGGUAAGUUAAGCCCUAGGUAUAUCGGACCUUUUCAGAUUCUUAAGAGGAUUGGAGAGGUAGACUACAAGCUUGCACUACCACCAAGUCUAGCUGCAGUUAUCCAAUAUUCCAUGUUUCUAUGCUCCGGAAGUACCACGGUGAUCCAUCAUGUGUUAGAUUAUAGCUUAGUCCAGUUGGACAAGUAUUUGUCCUAUGUUGAGGAGCCGGUAACCAUUUUGGACAGGCAGGUCCGAAAGUUGAGGUCGAAGAACAUUGCAUCAGUGAAGGUUCACUGGAGGGGUCAACCAGUCGAGGAGGCGAAUUGAGAGACCGAGCAUGAUAUAUGUAGUCGUUAUCCUCAUCUUUUCACCACUUCAGGUAUGUCUCUAUACUCGUUCAAGGACGAACGUUUGAUUUAAGAGGGGGAGGAUGUAACGACCCAGCCAGUCGUUUUGAGUAUUUUAUCUCCAAUUCCCUAUUUAUUGCCUCAUCUAUGUUUUAUUAUGGUUAUGUAAUUUGCCGGGGUGUUUGGUUUUGAUUUCGGGUGAGUUUCAGAGUGUAAUGGGACACAUAGUCAUAAGUUGGAGGCUUAAGUUGAAAUAGUUGACCGUAGUUUAACUUUUAUGUAGAUGACUCCAGAUUGAAUUUUUCAAGGUUCCAAUAGCUCCAUACGGUGAUUUUGGACUUAGGAGCAUGUCUGGAUGUUGAUUUGGAGGUUCGUAGGUCGUUUCAGAUUGAUUUAGCGAAAGUUAGAAAGUUAAAGGUUUAGAAGGUUGGAAAGUUUGAUGGGGAGUUAACAUUAUUGAUAUCGGGGUCCGAUUAUGGUUUCGAAAGUUGGAAUAGGUCCAUCAUAUCAUUUAUGACUUGUGUGUAAAAUUUGAAGUCAAUCGGAGUUGUUUUGGUAUGAAUUGGCAGUAGUUUUUAAAAUCAGAAAUUCAUAGUUUUAAUAGGCUUGAAUUGGGUUGCGAUUCGUGAAAUCAAUGUUGUUUGAUGUGAUUUUGGCCUCGAGUAGGUCUGUUAUGUAUUUUGGAACUUUUUGGUAUAUUCAGACGGGGUCACGUGGGCCCCGGGUGUGAUUCGGAUUGAAUCCGGAACCAAAUUGGACUUAGACUUUUUGCUGAAGUUCCAGCCCUUCUGGUAUCAUUGCACCUGCGGAGGGAUUAGCCGCAGGUGCGGACUCGCGGAUGCGAGUGGUGAAGCGCAUAAGAGAAGAGGGGCAGCCCAGGUCUGGGCUCGUAGGUUCGAACACCUAGGCGCAGGUGCGCCUCCGCAGGAGCGAACCUUGCUUUCGCAGAAGAGGAAUUUGGGGGAAGGCCUUGGGCAGGACCGCAGGUGCGGUCGUUUUCUCCGCAGAAGCGGGCUCGCAGUGCGAGUAAGUGGUCCGCAGCAGCGGAAUCUCAGGACAUAAGUCGGAACCGCACCUGCGAUGGUUUUUUCGUAGGUGCGGCGUCACAGGUGCGACUGAGUGACCGCAGAUGCGGAAUCACUAUGCAGAAAAGGGCUAAGUUCGAGGGUUUGAUUUCAUUAGUCAAAGUUUGGACCUAGAGAACUCAUUUUGUGGCGAUUGUUUGAGUGAUUUUCAUGAAAUUCAUAGUGGUAAGAGAUUAUAACUCGGUUUUGGUUAUAUUACACGAAUCCAUUGUUACUUUCAUCAUUUAUUUAGUGAUUUGAGUUAGAAAUUUGGGAAACAUUUGUGAUAACUUCUUAGGCUAAAUUUUGGGCAAUUGAAAGGCGAUUUGAGGUCGGAUUUGAGUAAUUCUUAUAUGAUUAGACUCGUUAUCGAAUAUAUAUUCGGAUUUUAUAAUUUUGGUCGGGUAUCGAGACGGGGGCCCGGUUGAAUUUUUGAGUUGACUAUUUAUUUUUUUUUAAUGAUCGUAACUUUAUUGUUCGGAAUAGUUUUCUAUAGUUUAUAUUUAUGGAAUGAAGUUGCUUUGGCUAGAUUCGAGCCGUUCGUAGUUGGAUAAUCGAGGGAAAGGCUUACUUUGUAUAGGGGAAUUACCCCUUAGGACUGGUGUUGGUUUGCGUUAACUGUGAUAUCUGAAAGCCGUGUGCACAAGGUGACAAGUGUGUACACGAGUUAAAUGUGAAAAUUUACCGGUUUUAGCUAUGUAUAUUACUUUCAUGCCAUAAUUGAGUUACCUUAACAUGUUAUAAUCAUCAUCGUUAUUCUAUCUUCACAUGCUCUACUUGUCUUAUCCCUUACUUUUUAAUUGCCUCUACAUGUUUAGUUGAAGUAUUGCUUCCUCUAUUCCUUAAUCAUUAUUUAACCAUUGAGUUCUUUACUUGAAGUUUUUAUUUUUAGAAUAUCUUGUUGUUGAAAUUGUUAUUGAGUUAUAAUGGCCAUGAUUUACAUUGAGGCAAAGUUAUAAAGUUGUGAAAUACUAUCCUUUUUGAGUUAUUCACUUCCGGUUGUUAUUGCGAGACUCUUGUGCAUAUUGUGGUUGAGCCAUGGGCUAUUUAUUAUGAAAAUACUAGUGUUGUGGGUUUUCUUGGCAAGUUGUGAUAUAGGGCACUUAAGGUGCAAUUUGUGAUAUGUUGUGAUAUUGAUAAACAUGUUGUGGUAUAAGGUUUUUGGGUUGAAACGCAUGCAGUGAGAUAAGGUGGGCUUGAUACGCGUGUUGCUAGUAGGAGAACUGCUUGAAGCCACGCGGUAUGAUAAGGUGAGCUAAAACGCGGGAAGCUAUUUCGAAAAAAUUAAUUUUCAAAACUAAAUGCAAGACUCCCACGGUGAUAUAAAGAAAGAUUAUGAAUUGUGUUGUGAUUUGAUACUACGAGGCGGUACCUCAGUAGUGACUCUUGUGAAUACUUUUCGAUUACUUCACUUGUGUUUUGGUUGUUCUUUGUUUCCGUGGCAUAACAUUCCUUGUUUUCUUCCAUGAUACAUUGUUUGCCUUAGUUCAGUGUAGCCAAUAUUGGUGUAUUACUUGUUUCAUUUCCAUUGUUAUUAUUACGUUGUUAAUUACUCGUUCAGUUUCUUAUUUAUUUGAGUAGGGCCUUGACCUGACCUCGUCACUACUCUACCGAUGUUAGGCUUGGCACUUAUUGGGUACCGUUGUGGUGUACUCAUGCUACGCUUCUGCACAUCUUUUUGUUCAGAUCCAGGUACCUCUUAUCAGUUUAGACAAUAGUGAGACGAGCUUAGCUUCGGUGAUUUCAAGGUAUACAUGUCGGCGUAAGCAUGCCUCGGAGUCACCCUCUAUCUAGUUUAUUUUAUUUUUCUUUUCCUUUUUAUAGACAUUGAUAUAUAGGGAUGUUCAGUACUAUCUUAUAGAGCUUGUGACUUAUUUUCGUCGGAUUUUAGAAAGGGUAUUCUAUUGAGCUACGAAGUUUUCUUUUAUGUUAAUUGUUGAGUAUUUGAAAGUUUCUUCAUUAUUUUAGUCAAAUUCCGAAUGUAUGUUAUGCUUACCUAGUCUUAGAGAUUAGGUGCCAUCACGACAUCCAACGGAGGAAAAUUGGGGUCGUGACAGACCUCCUCAAAUUUUAUGAGCAUACAAUACCCAAAAUAUCGACGACUCUCGGAGUGCUCCAAAUCACCCAACACAAUAUGUUUAUCCCCAUCUUCUUUCAAGAGUUUAUGGAAGUAUGUCUGCCUUCUUCGUCUAAUUUGUUCUCUUCAAUCAAAACUCUGAUUCCUCAUCUUUGAUGCACUUCACUUGAUCCAAAUCAUGAGCCUUAUUUUCUCUCACCUUGUACAGCAUGUACAUCUUUUUGUCCUCACCUUUGACCCCAAGUGCUUCAUACAAACGUCAAAACGCUCCAAUCUUAGCCGCAAUAACUGCUAACUUCGCCUCCUUCUUAGCCCUGCUAUACCACUCCAUGUUCAUCCUCUUCUCCACCUCGUCUAUGCUCUCCACUAGCUUCAAAAGCACCGCUUUCUUAGCUUUUGCUUUUCUGGGAACCUCUUCACUCCACCACCAAUUCCCUUUAUGCCCUCUAGUGUAACUCUUUGAGACUCCUAACACCACUCUCGCAGCUUCUUUAAUACUACUCGCGUCCCCACUGCUCUUCCCGGUCCUCAUAGCCAGCAAUUUCUCUCCCAACUCCUGAGCUUUGUCUUUAGUCAAGGUCCCCGCCUGAUAAUAUUUUUAGUCAUUAACCUAAGCGAUCCCAAUUUAAAAUGCUUAAUAAACCAAUGUCAUUGCAGUUUAUGUUGACAAAAUUUUCAAAUUCAAGAGUAGCAAUUUUUAUGAAUAAUACUUGGAGCGAGACAGCGUAUACCUUAGUUUGAUAGUAUUAGUUACUGGUACCGAUGUUAGUACUUUACUUUCACACUUGAUUAUUGUUUAUGCAGAUCAAGUUACACGACAAAGCAAAAGGUCAACUAAUUGUGUCUAUUGAAAAAAGAGAAGAAGAAACGGGGUCCAAGCUCCAUGAUUCAACUCAUGUAGUGGUGGAAUUUAAAGGUCGAAAGUAUGUGGGGUCCUUUCCUUUUUCUCUAUACCAAAAAAUGUACUAACUAUUUCAUUUUCGUUAUAUCCAUCGUUGUUUAUAUUGCAAUAAUAAAUACAUGAUACCGUCUUUUAUAUAUUCACUAAUAUUAUUUAACUAUAAAAAAUAAUAAUUUGAUGCAUGAGAUAUUUCGCAUUCAUGUAGGGUCCGAAAGAGAACCGCACCUUAAGGGGUGUGAUAGUUUAUCAUGUGUUCAAUUAUAAUAAAUUAUAUAUAAUUUAUCACUUAAUUAACCAUAAUAAAUCGAUUUAAUUUUAUGUAUUCAUGAAAUGUGAUAAGUUUUUAUCCCUUUAUAUUGCAUUUUUGGAGAAAAGGUGCUGCUAUUAUGAAGAGUACAGCUUAUAUUAUAUGUAUCCACAACAUCAAAAAAAAUUCUUUUAAACUAUCAGAACAUUCUACAUAUAUGUAACUUUAUAAAUUUGAAAAUGAGAUAAAUUAACUACUAUAACAUGAAAAACAAUUGCUAGGAGGAACUUUCCCCAAACCAAAAAACAAAACAAUCCUUAUUUGAAUUCUCAUUUCAUACGUAAAAUAAUUCUGACCAUGGUGAGAUUUGAGCACACCGUAAUUGAAAGUGGUAUUGCUUUUUCUUUGUGAGUGAGACUGACAAGUGAAAGUUUACCAGACAAAAUAAAGGAGAGGCCAAUGGUCAUGCCAGAAUAUCUUAGUAAGGAAGGAGAUGGAGAGUCCAAUUAUAAUAAGGGUCCUCCCCAUGGAUGGAAGUUUCCCUCGUAGAAUCCUUUUAACUUUUUUAUUUUCCCCAUGUGGAGUCAUUAACUAAUAAACCCAUGUUUUUUCAAAUAUAAAUUUUCUCAAAUAUUACAACAACAAUAAUUACUACACUUUAUUAAUUUUAAAGUUUCGACUGCCGAUUACAUAAGUUCUCACUAUCAGUAAAUUUUAUACUUGGCAGAAUUCUUCUUUUUGUAAAUUGUCAAGUUUUACGUUGUUUGUUAGCUUUGAAAACUCAAUUCCGAUGUCGUUUAUUCAAAAAUCAAACUUUGAUCAAUUCUAGCAACUUAAACUUUUAAAAAUGGAACUAAGUAUUCAAAUUCACUCCCAAAACUUUUCGAAAUCAAACCAACCAUCCUCGCAAAUUACAAAACCAACAUAUGGAAAGCAUCAAAUAGGAUAGCGGGGCUCAAAUACACAAAAUAACUGAUCAAAUCAUUACAUUCUGCGUCAUUGUUUACCCUAAAAUUUGGAUAACAAUUAAACAUAUAUUGUGAUUUUAAGAAUAUGUGAUUUCGUCCAAUACCAAUUGAUAAACGAAAAAAUAAAUAGAUGUAUUAGGCUGUAAAAUAAAUCAAACUAGUGUGUAAGCGAAGCCUCGACCUCGAAUCAAAGUAACCUCGAGGUGAUAUGGUAAGAACAAUAAAGAAUAAAGCAACUCUGAUGAACAGUAAGUAGAGCAAUAAGCAAGAAAGAAAUGAUUGUAUAUAUUUUUCUCACUGAGCCAUGAUGAUUACAAAUGAAUGGAAUUCCUCUUUAUAUAGUAGAGGAAUCCUAAUUAAAAUAUAUUUCUAAUUAUAGUAGGAAAUCAUGUCAACGGCUGAUUAACCGUUAUAGACUUGAUUCGAUCCGAGAUUUACGCCACGAUCCUCGAUCAAUCGCGGAUAUCUCGCCCUUUCCGUUAUAAAGCUAUGCCGAUAUUACUCAAAGUCUGUCUCUCUCUGGCCUCGAUUGAUGUCGACCUCAAUCUGAAAAGAGGCUUUGAUUUCGGACUCGACGUCCUAGCUCUUAGAUGUAACAUUCUUAUCCCGACUAAAUAGUGAAAUCGGGUACCCGAUUUCUACCGUAUACAGAUAGUCCCCUCGUUUCUUAGAAUAAAAUGAUAAGAAACGACUUGAGCCUCGAUUUUCUUAUGACCUCGAUAAACAGUGAUGUCAUCCCCAAGACGUAAGCGAUGGAAGUGACCAAAACGUCCCGUCGGUAUAGAUUCCCAAACCAUUAAUGCGCGUCAGUGGGCGGUCGGCCACUAGCGUCGUCGAACCGUCACCGUAGUUCUAUAAAUAUGGACUCUUUUGUUGAAACAAAACUUUUACUUCCAUUCUCAUCAAUCCUUCUAAGUUUCAGACUCUCUCCAUCUCUUCUCUUUCAUCACUCGUUGAGUUAGCCUUGUUAGUUUUAAAACACCAAACUUCAACACUUUCUGCUUUCUUCUGCUUGAAUCAAUGGCAAAAACUUCCAAAACCGUUCCACAAAGGAGAAAGCUUCCUCUUCUUCUUCCCGGCCGGCCAGUGAUAAAGCGCCGAUGGAACCGCUCCCUCAUGAGUAUGUUCCCGGCCCAUAUGUCUUAAAAUCCAACUUCAAAGUAGAGAACCUUUCUGUAACACCCCGAAAAAUUUUGAAGUACUUAAGUGCAAAGCCCGAUAAAAUUUGCAAAGAAAAUAAUGUUUCAUGGUGCCGGACUAGGCUUACGUGUUUGAGGAUUUUAGAAAUUUUUCGCGGCAAGGGCUCGGACUUUUUGGGUUGAACAACGCACCGAAAAGUAAAAAAAAAAUUUUGACGAAAAAGUGCAUUUCUGCGGUCCAUUAUGCGACCGCAGAAUCACUCUGCGGACCGCAUAAUAGACGCAGAGUGAGGCAGUUGAUUGGGUCAGUUGGAAGCAACUAUGCGGUCGACUAUGCGACCGCAUAACUGUUAUGCGGUGCAUUAUGCGACCUCAUAAUAGUUAUGCAGACCGUAUAGUGACCGCAUACACAGGAAGUUCUUUUGGCUAUUUUGUAACCAAAUAUGCAACCGAUAUGCGGUCCGUAUAUCGGUUAUGCGAUCACAUACCUUGUUCUGGAGCUCCAUUUUUGGGUUUUUAAAACCCGACCCUAUUUCGUUAAAUACACUCUUUGGGCCAUUUUUGAGACAUAAUCUGAUAUUUUAGAGUGAGAGAGAGUGCCCUAGAGUGAGAAGGUGUUGUUCAAUAAAUUUUCUUCAAUUCUUGCUCACGUUUUGGAAGAUUAAGAAGGGAAGCUCACUAAGUCUUCAUCCUAGAGGUAUGAUUCUACACCCUAAACCCUUAUUUCGAAAUUUUCUGAAAAUGGGUAACUAGCAAGAUAAAUUUCUGGGCAUGAGAGUUGUUUAUUCUACAUGCAUGUAUUAAAGGGUGUAGGAAGAUUGUUGAGCUAAAAAUGGUACAGAUUGGGUUGUGGGAUGAUGAAAUCCUUCAUAAAAAUGACAUUGAAACCUUAUGCACACCUAGUGUUUGAUAAAAUGCUCAAGCGAGCUAGAACCAUGAUCAUCUUCCUAAUUUUAGUUCAAUUUGUUAUAUUUCUAUAAUAGAUUGAAGUUGCUAAGAAUUCCGAAAUAUUUAGAGUGUAAGAAAGCUCAAGUGAGGUAUGUUGGCUAAACUCUUCUCUUAGAAUUGAAUCCCGCGAUAUUCAUGUAAAUUAUGUAGGUCCCAAGUGAUUUAUUAUGAAAUUGGCUAUUCCGAGUAAGAUUGGGUUGGAAGAUAUAUGUUCAACAAGCAUCCCAAAUGCUCUAUUCAUGUUAUGUUACCAAUUGAAGAUGUGUCAAAAUAUAGGUUGUGCAUUAAUAAUGUUUCGACUUUAAGUCAAGUUCAAAUGAAGGCUAUUANNNNNNNNNNNNNNNNNNNNNNNGAAAUUGAUAAUGUGAGCAUGAAAUACUGAAUAUGGCCAACGUGCCAAGAAUAAUCUUAUAAUUAUGGCCACUAGUGCCAAUGAAAUGAUAAGAUGUGAAAGUAUUAUGAAAUGCGAUGAUUGAUACAAAAGGGUUGAUGUCUCAAAUAAGACGGCUUAGCCGGUCGGGUCGUGAUCGGACACCAUGCCGCGCACACAUGGUGGUGAUUGUGCUGGAAAUUGUAAUUGAAAUGGUAAUUGAAAUUGUAAUUGAAAUCGUAAUCUUACUCCGUGUUAAAGACGGUGGUAUUAAUAUUGAGAGAAAUUAUGGUUGAUGUCUCUAAUGAGAUGGCCUAGCCGAUCGGGUCGUGAUCGGACUCCGUGCUAAGAGUACGGUGGUACCAGUAUUGUGAAUAAUGGUAUUGUGGACAAUGGUAUAUAGAUACUAAACAUUUCCCAAUGUGAGAUAUGAAAAUUAAUUUGAACACUGUCUUGAUCCUAAAUUGAGGUUUGAUGUUGAUUAAGGCUUUCAUUGAUAUUAUGAUAAUCUUAUUUGUAUUAUUUGUCAUUCUAUUGAGAGAGUGUUUAGUUAUACAUACUAGUUCUAUUCGACAGUACUAACGUCCCUUUUGUCGGGGAAGCUGCAUCUUUCAAUGGAUGCAGGUGGUUCCACAGCAGAAGAUAUUGGUCAGUGAUAGUAGUGCACCUUCUUCCCAGCUGACUUGGUGAGCCCCACUUCAUUCCGAGGUCAUGAAUCUUUUGUACUUUGUGUAUUCUAUUUGAGGUAUAGCCGGGGCCUUGUUGCCGGCAUUAUCAUUGUACUCUUCUUUAUCUAUAGAGGCUCCGUAGACAUAAUGUGGGUUGUGUAUUGGUGCUGGAGAAAGACAAACUAUGUUAUGUUGUGGACGUAUUACUUGUCCAUUUGAGACUUUAAAAUUGAUGAAACUAUUGGAAAUGAAUUGGUAUUGUAGACAUGAACACAUUUUUGCCUAAUUAAUGAUAAUAUGUAUUAUCUCCAUUCAUGGAUAAGUUUGGGUAAAAUAAAAUCUAACAGGCUUGCUCGGUCGGGUUCACUCGGUUGAGCGCCGGUCGCGCUCCUCGAUUUUGGGGCGUGACACUUUCAUUGGUCCCUGGCCGAUGUGAGCACGUGUCGAGAUAUAUCUGCUCGAUAACAGCGGGAUAUCUCGAGGAUGUGAAGAGGGAUUGUAAUUAGGGGGCCGAAGUUGUGGUACAUAUCCCCGCUCCUGAAGAGAGUAUUACCACCCACGUAGAGGGGUUUCUAAGUGUUUACACUUACCCCUUCACAUUGGGUCCCCUCGACCCAGUUAUCAUAAACUUCUGCAAGAGGUACCAGGUCACCCUCGGCCAAGUUCACCCCUCUUUCUGGCGUAUCGUGAUCAUGCUCCUAUUCUUUUCCAGCAAGGUCGGGGGGCUGCCGUUCACUCUCAGCCAUCUUAUGCGAUUAUAUCGACCCCGACUCUUACGAGGGUUGAUCAAGCUCCAGCGCCGAGCAACCAAGGCUUUAUUCUCGAGCGUCGAUGAGGACAAGGACCGGGGUUGGAUGAGCUGAUUUGUUCAAGUGAGAACCUGCGACCUCAUCCCAAAGGAAAAAUUGCCGUCCCCCGAGAGGUGCAACCCCGAGCGUAAGUAACAUCUUACUCAUUAGUCUUCAUAUUCCCAUUUUUUGACUUAUAUAAUGUCUUUAUUUGUCAUGGAACGGUUGCCUGGAUGCCUCGAGCGGUUCCUGACCUCGAGGAAUGGGUUCGGAAGUUGGCCUCGACUUCCUCCUAUGCCGAGCGCUGCUGGUGUGAAGGCAAAGGGCAAAUGGGAGGCAAAGAAUCAUGGUGAGCGUUUUUUUCUUAUUUCUGAGGUGCUAAUCAUAUUUCAUUUUUUGACUAAGUUUCCUUUUGUGUAGGCCUGAACAAGGAUGCGAUUUUAAGGCCUCCGAGCGGCGAGGAAAAGGCCAAGUCCCCGGUUUUGAAAUCGGGGAAAGGCAAGAAGAGGAAGGGGGUCUCAUUGUCCGAGGACCCCAAACCCAAAGCUCGAAGGACCAGACGGAAGGUCAUUUCUCUCACCAUGGACUCGGUCCGAAGUUUGAGAGAAGAAGAAGAAGAAGAAGAAGAAGAAGAAGAAGAAGAAGUUGACGCCUCGACGUUGGUGGCUCGACCCAAGAAGACUGUCGAGGCCGCCAAACCUUCAAAACCGGAGGUGGUUGCUGAGAUCAAGACUCAUGAUGAGGAGGCUUCCAAGAAAAGUUCGGGUGUUGACCCCGAAUCGCCUGAGGUCGAGAUUUUCCCUCGACCAUCCACAAACAUACCAGAGGGGGCAGUUCUGAGACCCCGAGAGCCGAUCAGAGCGCCCCGAGUGACUCGCUCGGGGCAGUGAUAGCAGGUCAUUCACCUUCUCUGCCGGCUUACUCCGAGGAAGCGAUAAGAGAGGCUCGGGCCAUGAGGACCCCCGACAUAGGCAGAGUCCCUAGUGAAGAGGAUCCCUUUCGGGAUUGCUUUACCGGGUUCGAUGACACCUCUGAACUUAACGAUGCGUCCACCCUUUUUGAAGAGGCCAACCGUCUUCUAUCUCGAGUAAGUAUUAAUUGUUAUAGUUCUCUUUUUCUUUUCCAUCUUUUAGUGUAACUUAAUUUCUUCCCAUAUAGGCUUUUUCCAAGUCUCGGGCCGAUCUGGCUGUGAGGCCAAGCUCCAGAAGACUUCAGAGGAGAGAAAUACUCCCAAGCUCCUUUGUGGACAAAAGGAUGAAGAGCUCAGGGACAUUCGAGCAGAUUUGGCCAAGGCUCAUAAUGAGGAGGCCGAGCUGAACGAGAAGGUAACUGUCAUUUUGAUCAAAUACGGACUUGAUCCAAGGGUGAAGACUAACAUUUCGAUGUCUCGGUUGCAGCAAAAAAUUGAGAAGAUCGAGCUGUUACAGGGGGAAGUCGAUCAAGUUACACCGGUGGAAAGAAGGCAUGGACUACCUUGCUACGGAGAAAGAGGCUGCUUUGGCCCAACUAUCAUCGGCCGAAGUUCAACUUAGGAGUGUUAAGGAGAAGAAUUCGGCUCAGACCAAAAGGAUCGAUGAGCUCAAGGGUGAACUUGCUAAGGUCCCAACAAAGGCCAAGAAGGCGAAGACUACGGCCGACAAAUCGGUGGCCAUGUAUCUGGAUGAUGCCUAGGCUGCCGAAGCACAGCUAAGGGAGGCCCUUGAUCGAGUUCAGUGGACUACCGACCUUGCCAAGCACCAAUCUCGAAGGGAGACCCUCGAGUAAAUCCAUGCUCGAGGUUUUGACCUCUCUGAGGACUUAGCACAGGCAAAGGUGCAUGAAGCUGAUGCCAGGUUGCUUGCCUCCUCCGUUGAUGACGAUGAUGAUGAAGGCAGCCAAGGCCGGUCCGAUAAUGGCGAGGGGACCGAAGAAGAGGCUGCCCACGAGGAAGAAGUCAACCCCGGUUAUAGUUAGGACUUUUGUACAUAGUUUUCCUUUUUUCUUCUUUCUUCUGUGUAAGACCUUUGUCGGUCUUCGUACAUAUUUUUGUUCAAGUAUAUAAAGAUUUUCCCUUUGAAUUCCUUCUCAAAUUCUAUCUUCAAUCUUGCUUUGUGCCUUGUAAAAUUUUGGCACAUUUUGUGUUUUUUGCAUAAUAUGUUCGAGACUUCGAUUUUGAUCAAAGUCACAAUAGUAUUGUUUUUAUAGUCGAGUUCGUGUAAGACUCGAACUCGAAGCAAUAGAACCCUUAGGUUUGUAUUGAGUAAUAAUGGAUCCUUGAUCUGUAGUCAAGUAAGUUUUUAUUCGAACUCGAGAUAGUGGAACCCAUAGGUUCGUAUCGAGUAAUAAUGUAUUCUCGAACUCUAAGUGCAUUGGCCCUUAGGCUCUUUGUAUCGGGACGAUAUGACCUUUUCCUUUUUUCGGCUUAAAGACUUUUGUAAAAUUUUGUUAUGCCUUAGCAUGUAUUUUUUACCCAUUGGGUUUUUUGAGGGUUUGAAAUUGAUUGAAACCCCUUUACCUUUUGUGCCUUGGCACAAAUUUUUAUUUGAAUAAUUUGAUACCUCUUAAGGUUUUUCGAGGGCUGAUAUUAUCAAAGCCCUUUGAUUAUUUCGUCGAGGGUAGCCUUUUUUAACCGGUUUUCAAAAAAUUAGAAGGCCUAUUUUUAUUGCGGGAUUCGGACGUCUCCGAGCCGCGUUAAUUUGGCUGUAGCCUUUGGGUAUGUCUCUUGGGAUUAUUUUCCAAUAACACUUCAAACUUGUUCGAAGUGUUAGUCCCCGAGAAUGAUGGCAUUGGCCUAUAAAUCGAGGAAUGCCUCUUUGAGGUCUUAUGGUUUCGCAUUUAGAUAAUUCAAACAUGUUGAUUUUCAAUGACAGUCCCCAAGUAGGGGGUCGAUCGUUCGAGGUGUAAUUGCACUUCGGCCCUUGAGCCAUUUUUCAUAGAAAAUCAUAAGUAUGGAGCUCGUAAAGUAGAAUUUUUUUUUUGAAGCACCAGAUAUUUGAUAAGGAAAAGUACUUCUUUGAAUAGUUCAUACAUGCGUACAUGUUUUGCCAUUCGACCGUUUGGCCCAUUACAAAGUUUUCCUAUCGAGGCAAUUUUGACAUGAAGUAUUUUUCCUUGAAAAUAAAUUAUCCGAGGGUGAUGCCCCCCAGUAUUCGAGGUUGAAUGUAAGGAGACCUAAGAUACUCUAAGUCAGCACGAACAAUGGUUGUCUCAUUAAAAACCUUGCCGGAAAAACCCAUUUGGGAUAAAAACAGGUCGAAGGAAAAAAGAGUGCAACGCAUGCUUUAGGGUCCUAAUAUCUUCCUGCUUGAUGAUAACUCCGAUAUUUUUGCCCGAACACCUGAAAAUAAGUUAGCAUAAAAUGUAAAUAAAAAAGGAGAAAGUUAUACCUUAAUAGUAAUAUCGCUUGAGGAGUGAGAUGUUCCAAUUGUUUGGCAGUUGCUCGCCAUUUAUUGUGCCUAGCUUGUAAGAUCCCUUUCCGACGAUAUGGAGGACUUGAUAAGGUCCUUCCCAAUUAGGGCUGAGUUUUCCUUCAUUAGGGUCUCGAGUGUUGAUGGUGACUUCCCUCAGGAUCAAGUCCCCGAUUCUGAAGUGGCGAAGGUUGGUCCUUUGAUUAUAAUACCUUUCAAUGCGUUGUUUUUGAGCGGCCAUUCGAACGAGGGCAGCUUCUCAUUUUUCAUCUAAUAGUUCGAGGCUAGUAUUCAUAGCCUCGUGAUUUGAUUCUUCCGUUGUAUAUCGAAAUCUGGUGCUGGGUUCCCCCACUUCGACUUGAAUCAAGGCUUCAGAGCUAUAUACUAAGGAGAAUGGUGUUGCCCCCAUACUGGACUUCGACGUCGUUCGAUAUGCCCAAAGGACUUCGGGUAGAAUUUCUCUCCAUUUUCCCUUGGUGUCGUUCAACCUUUUCUUCAAAUUCUGAAUGAUGGUUUUGUUCAUCGAUUCGGCUUGCCCAUUUCCACUAGGAUGAUAUGGUGUCGAUAAGAUUCUCUUUAUUUUGUGAUCUUUGAGAAACUUCGUUACCUUGUUGCUGAUGAAUUUCUUUCCAUUUUCGCAUACAAUAUCGACAGGUAUCCCAAAUCAACAUAUGAUGUGAUCCCAUAUGAAGUCUAUAACUUCUUUUUCUCUGACUUUCUCGAAGGCCUGUGCUUUAACCCAUUUAGAAAAAUAGUCAGUCAUAAAUAAAAUGAAUUUAGCUUUACCUGGGGUCGAUGGUAGAGGGCCGACGAUAUCCAUCCCCCAUUUCAUAAAUGGCCAUGGGGAUAGGACCGAAUGAAGUUAUUCUCCGGGCUGGUGGAUCAUUGGUGCGUACCUUUGACACUUAUCACAUUUUCGAACAAACUCCUUAGUAUCAUUUUCCAUACUAUCCCAAUAAUAUCCUGCUCUGAUGAUUUUAUGAACUAGUGAUUCGGUACCGGAGUGGUUCCCACAAGUACCUUCAUGAACUUCUCAUAGGACAUAAUCGGUGUUCCCUAGUCCCAAACAUACUGCUAAUAGUCCGUCGAACGUUCUUCUGUACAAUGUUCUAUCUUCAGCCAAUAUGAAUCGAGCAAAUUUUGUUCGUAGAGCCCUCGAUUCUUUAGGGUCCGAUUAGAGUUUUCCGUUUUUUAAAUACUCGAUAUAUUUAUACCUCCAGUCCCAAGUUAAGCUUGUGGAGUUUAUCUCAGCGUGACCUUCCUCGAUUACAGAUUUUGAGAGUUGAACAACAGUCCCCGAGCCGAUUUCGUUGUCCUCGACUGAUGAUCCCAAAUUUGCAAGGGCACCGGCUUCACGAUUCUGCUCUCGAGGUACAUGCUGCAAAGUUCAUUCUUUAAAACGGUGUAAAGUCACCUGCAGCUUGAUCAAAUACCUUUGCAUUAUAUCCUCUCGAGCCCCGAAUGUUUUGUUUACUUGGUUUACUAUUAGCAGGGAGUCGCAUUUGGCUUCGAUGACUUUCGCUCCCAAGCUUUUAGCUAGUUCGAGACCUACAAUCAUGGCCUCGUACUCGGCCUCAUUGUUAGUCAACUUAGAAGUUUUGAUGGAUUGUCUAAUAGUAUCGCCCGUGGGCGGCUUCAAAACGAUGCCUAGCCCGGACCCCUUCACAUACCGUCCAUAAAAAGGGUCCACAUCCCCGAUGAUGUACCCGAUUUCAAUAAAAGUUCCUUUGAGGGUAGGAGUGUAGUCGGCCACGAAGUCUGCCAAAAUUUGAGACUUGAUAGCCGUUCGGGGUUGAUAUUCGAUAUCAUACCCACAAAGUUUGACGGCCCAUUUGGCCAAUCGGCCCGACAGUUCGGGCUUAUGAAAAACAUUACGAAGUGGGUAAGUGGUCAAUACAUAUAUGGGGUGACAUUGAAAAUAUGGUUUUAGCUUCCUAGAGGCGCUUAUUAAAGCAAGUGCCAACUUUUCUAAGUGUGGAUAUCUAGUUUCUGUUUCACCUAGAGUUCGACUUACGUAAUAAAUAGGAAAUUGCGUACCUUGCUCUUCUCGAACUAGGACACCACUUAUCGUAAUUUUCGAGACUGCCAAAUAUAAGUAGAGUUUUUCAUCUGCCUUUGGAGUAUGGAGCAAAGGUGGGCUCGAGAGGUAUCGUUUCAAUUCUUCUAACGCAUAUUGGCAUUCCGUAGUCCAGGCGAAAUCGUUCUUCUUUUUGAGUAUAGAAAAGAACUUGUGGCUUCGAUCCGACGAUCUCGAGAUGAAUGGGUCUAAGGCAGCUAUCCGCCCCGUCAGCCUUUGUACGGCUUUAACGCUGUCUACGACAGUGAUGUCUUUGAUAGCCUUGAUUUUAUCGGGGUUGAUCUCGAUCCCUCGAUUCAACACCAUGAAGCCAACGAAUUUGCCCUAACCGACCCCGAAAGCACAUUUCUCGGGGUUGAGUUUCAUGUUGUAUUUCCUUAAUAUCUUGAAUGUUUCCUGCAAAUGUAUCAAAUGGUCCUCUGCGCGCACGAACUUAACUAGCAUGUCAUCAAUAUAUACUUCCAUUUACUUACCUAUUUGGUCUUCGAAUAUUUUAUUUACUAGGCGUUGGUAGUCAGCUCCUGUGUUUUUUAGCCCAAAUGGCAUUACGUUAUAACAAUAUGUUCCAUACUUGAUGAUAAAUGAAGUCUUUUCUUGGUCUUCCGGGUUCAUUUGAAUUUGAUUGUACCCGGAAUAGGCGUCGAGAAAACUAAGGAUCUCGUGGCCGGCCGUGGCGUCGAUCAUGCGAUCGAUGUUAGGCAAUGGAAAAGAAUCUUUGGUGCAUGCCUUGUUCAAAUCCUUAUAAUUCACACAAAUCCUAAGUUUGUUCCCUUUUUUAGGGACUACGACUACAUUUACUAACCAUUCGGGAUAUUUUACCUCCCGAAUGGACCCUAUUUUGAAAAUUUUAGUUACCUCAUCCUUGAUGAAUGCAUGCUUUACCUCAGACUGCGGCCUUCUCUUUUGCUUCACUGGCCUGAACAUUGGGUCCAGGCUCAAUAGAUGUGUUGUUAUCUCUGGUGGGAUCCCUGUCAUGUCUAAGUGGGACCAAGCAAAAAAAAUUAUGUUAUCGAUAAGGAAUUUAAUAAGCUUUUUCCUGAGUUCGGGGGUUAACCCCAUCCCCAGGUAUACCUUUCGCUCGGGUAGGUAGUCGAUCAAUAUAAACUGUUCCAGCUCUUCGACCGUUGAUUUGGUGGUGUCGAAUUCUUCGGGAACGACAAAGGUUCGAGGGGUCAAACAAUCUUCAUCUUCUUCUCCCUCUAUUUCUUGAUUCCCUGAUUCAGUCGAGGCUGGUGGCUGUGAUUGCUAUUUGGCUUCUUGUUUCCCUUUGAUGUUCGAUCCUUUCAAUGUUGACGUCGCCGAUAUUGGUAUUACCUUAUCAACCGCGAACAUAUCCUUUGCAGCAUGUUGCUCCCCGUACAAUAUUUUUACCCCGUCCAACAUCGAGAAUUUUAUCAUUUGGUGGAGAGUUGAAGGGACUGCCCUUAUAUUGUGAAUCCAUGGCCUCCCGAGUAGGGCAUUGUACCUCAUAUCGCCCUCGAUCACGUGGAAUUUGGUAUCUUGGAUAGUUCCAGCCAUGUUCACUGGUAGGAUGAUCUCUCCUUUAGUUGUCUCGUUGGCCAUAUUUAAACCGUUCAAGACCCGAGCUGCGGGCAUGAUUUGAUCUUGUAGGCCGAGCUGCUCCACGACCCUUGAUCGGAUGAUAUUUGCCGAGCUACCUGGAUCCACUAAAACACGCUUAACUUGAACUUUAUUUAACAAGAUAGAAAUUACCAAAGCGUCGUUGUGAGGUUGAGAAAUUCCUUCUGCUUCCUCGUCGUUGAAUGAUACGGCUCCUUCUGGCACAUAAUCUCGGGUCCGUUUUUCCCUGGUAAUUGAUACCUUAGUGCGUUUGAAUAUGGGCCUUUGUGAAAUAUCGACACUGCCGACGAUCAUAUGGAUUACAUGUUGCGGCUCCUCCUGUUCAUUUUUUCUGUUGGCGUCCCUUUCUCUGAAAUGAUUCUUGGCUCGAUCACUUAGGAACUCUCGAAGGUGGCCUUCGUUGAAUAGAUGGGCUACCUCCUCCCUUAACUGUCUGCAAUCUUCGGUCCUGUGACCAUGCGUGCCAUGAUAUUUACACAUCAAAUUGGGGUUUCGUUGGGAAGGAUCAGUCUGGAUGGGUCUAGGCAAUCUAGUAUCUUUGAUUCUUCCAAUUGCCGAUACAAUGCCCGAAGCGUCGAUACUAAAAUUAUAUUUUGACAACCGAGGUGCCUCUGUAUGAUCGGUAUAUUUAUCAAAACCACUUUUGCUCAUAAGUCCCCAAGAAUUCUGUCAUCGAUCACUUCUUCGAUCAUUUCGGGCGGAAUUGCGUCACGGGCUGCUGUUUCGGCGAUCUACAAUGUACGACGGAUAUCGGUCUUUGUUCAACCGUGGCUCUCUAUCGACGUCCCUAUGAUUUUUAGUUGCUGACCUGUUUGGAUACACUGAACCGGAAGGAGUUCUUAAUUGUUCAUCUUCAACCCUGAUCUUCGAUUGGUACCGAUUGUAUACAUCGGCCCAAGUCACCGUUGGAUAUUCGAUCAAAUUUUGCUUCAGUUGACGUGACUCUACCGAACUUCGUUCAUUCAAUCCCUGAGUGAAAGCUUGAACGGCCCAAUCAUCCAUGACCUGUGGCAACUCUAUGCGUUCCAUUUGAAAUCGGGAUACUAACUCCCUCAGCAUUUCAUUAUCCUUCUAUUUUACCUUGAAAAGGUCCGAUUUCCUUGUCGCAACCUUUAUGGCCCCGGCAUGUGCCUUUAUGAAAGAAUCUGCUAACAUGGCAAAUGAGUCAAUGGAAUUUGGUGGUAGAUUGUGGUACCAAAUCAUUGCCCCCUUCGAUAAUGUCUCUCUGAACUUUUUCAUUAAAACAUAUUCGAUCUCAUCAUCUUCCAAAUUGUUACCUUUGAUGGCGCAUGUAUAGGAGGUGACAUGCUCGUUAGGAUGGGUGGUCCCAUUGUACUUAGGUAUGUCCGGCAUACGAAACUUUUUUGGAAUGGGCUUCGGAGCCGCACUUGGGGGAAACGGCUUAUGUACAAAUUUUUUUGAAUCCAUCCCUUUCAAAAUUGACGGUGCCCGCGGUAUAUGAUCAACUCGAGAUGUGUAUGUCUCCAUUUUCUUAUCAUUAGCUUCAAUUUUCUUUUAUCCCAACUCGAUUCUUUUGGUGAGCUCCUCGAGCAUUUUUAUUAUUGCAGGAUCGGUCCCCGAUUCAUUAUUAUUCGACCUCUCUGGUACUGGCUCGGCACGACGGGUGGCUUCUAGUUCGACCCCACUCAGAGUUCUAUGCUGAUUUUGCAGCUGUGCAAUAGCGGCUUGCUGAGCCUGUAGCAUUUAAAAUAUUACCUGGAGAUUAACUCCUCCAUCUCCUCUACCCUGUGCACCUUGGCCACUAGAUCGGUCUUCUCUACGUACACUCCUUUCGGGGUCUGGGCCCAGGUCUACAUUAAAAGCAACGUGCGAACUGACGUCGACUGGGUUGGCAACCGGUGCUCCCCCGAGAUCAGCUUGUGGCACUUCGACCCCUGGUGCAAUUACAUUGUCAUUCUCCCCGUGAAAUCCGAGGCCAUUGUCACCAUGUUAGGCGCAUUUUGCAAGUUUGACAUGUUUUAACCUGAAAGCAAAAAUACUUGACAAGAACAAGCGUAAAAUAGUGUGUGUUAUCGGAUUGAGUACUGAAUAAUCACUAUUAUACUUAGCCCCACGGUGGGCGCCGAACUGUUUACCCUAAAAUUUGGAUAACAAUUAAACUUAAAUUGUGGUUCUAAGGAUAUGUGAUUUCCUCCAAUACUAAUUGAUAAACGGGAAAAUAAAUAUAUGUAUUAGGCUGUAAAAUAAAUCAAACCAGUGUGUAAGCGAAGCCUCGACCUCGAAUUAAAGUAACCUCGAGGUGAUAUGGUAAGAACAAAAAGGAAUAGAGCAACUCUGAUGAACAGUAAGUAGAGCAAUAAGAAUGAAAGAAACGAUUGCAUAUAUUUUUCUCAGUGAGCCAUGAUGAUUACAAAUGAAUGGAAUUCCUCUUUAUAUAGUAGAGGAGUCCUAAUUAAAGUAUAUUUCUAAUUACAGUAGGAAAUCAUGUCAACAGCUGAUUAACCGCUAUAGACUUGAUUUGAUCCGAGAUUUAGUCCACGAUCCUCGAUCAAUCGUGAAUUUCUCGCCCUUUCCGUUAGAAAGCUAUGACGAUAUUCAAAGUCUGUCUCUCUCUGGCCUCGAUUGAUGUCAACCUCGAUCUGAAAAGAGGCUUCGAUUUCAGACUCGACGUCCUAGCUCUUCGAUGUAGCAUUCCUAUCUCGACCCAAGUAGUGAAAUCGGGUAGCCCCGAUUUCUACCAUAUACAGUCAUAAAAUUAGGAAGACAUGAAACCGAUGCGGAAACCGAAUGCACAGCUGAUGCAAUGAUGGGAAAUAACCAAGUUAAAAAUGUAGAACUUCAUGAUGAAGCAUAUGACAAAAUCUAAUAAAGAGUUAGACUAUGUCCGACUACUGUAAUCGAAUAGGGCCCAUUCGGGAGGUUAAGUACCCGGAUUGGUUAGCAAAUGUAGUAGUAGACCCUAAAAAGGGAAAUAAAUUAAAAUUGCGUGUAGACUAUAAAGACUUGAAUAAGGCAUUCCCCAAGGACUCUUUCCCUUUGCCCAACAUCGAUCGCAUGAUCGAUGCGACCCGUCCACGAGAUCCUCAGUUUUCUCGAUGCCUAUUCCGGGUACAACAAAAUUCGAAUGGACCCGGACGAUCAGGAAAGAACGUCCUUCGUCACUAAGUACGACACCUAUUGCUAUAACGUAAUGCCAUUCGGAAUAAAAAAUGCAUGUGCCACUUACCAACAUCUAGUAAAUCGAUGUUCGAAGAACAAAUAUGAAAAUCAAUGGAGGUUUACAUUGACAUUAUGUUAGUUAAGUCCCCGCGAGCAGAGGACCAUUUGAAACAUUUGCAGGAAACCAUCAACAUAUUAAAGAAAUAUAAUAUGAAGCUGAACCCGGAGAAAUGCACAUUUGGAGCCCGGUCCGGGAAAUUCCUCGGAUUCAUGUGUCUAACUGGGGAAUCGAGAUUAAUCCCGAUAAGAUCAAGGUCAUUGAGGACAUCACCAUUGUGGACAGUGUCAAGGCCAUUUCAAAGGUUAUCCGGACACGUAGUUGCUUUGGGUCGAUUCAUCUCAAGGUCCUCCGACAAGCGCCAUCGGUUCUUCUCACUAUUUAAAAAGAAGAAUAACUUCUCAUGGACCCCGGAGUGCCAGCAAGCCUUGGGGGAACUCAAGUGAUACCUCUCGAGCCCACCUUUUCUUCAUACUCCGAAGGCAGACGAACAGUUGUACCUGUACUUAGCGGUAUCCGAGAUAGAGGUAAGUGGAGUCUUGGUCCGGGAAGAGGAAGGCAUGCAAUUUCCUAUCUUUUAUGUUAGCAGAACUCUAGGCGAGGUCGAAACUAGGUAUUCUCACCUAGAAAAAUUGGCGAUCGCUUUUCUAAGCGCUUCUAGGAAGCUAAAACUGUAUAUUCAAUGCCAUCCCAUUUGUGUUGUAACUACUUAAUCAUUGAGAAACAUAAUGUAUAAACCCGAGCUGUCGGGAUGAUUGGCCAAAUGGGUCGUGGAGAUCAGCGGGUAUGAUACCGAAUAUCGACCCCAAACCGCCAUCAAAUCUCAAAUUUUGACGGACUACAUGGCCGACUUUACGCCGGCCCUAAUACCUGAGGUCGAAAGGGAGUUGUUGUUGAACUCGGGGACUUUCUCGAGAAUCUGGACCCUCUUUACAGACGGUGCCUCAAACGCAAAGGGGUCCGGACAUGGCAUCGUGUUGAAGCCACUGAUAAUUAAUGUAGUUAGACAAUCUAUUAGGACGGUAAAGUUGACUAACAACGAGCCCGAGUAUGAGGCCAUGAUUGCAGGUCUCGAACAGGAUAAGUACGACUCCUUCCUUGUGGAAUCAAUGGGACAUUAGAAGUCCGAAAGGAACGAAUGCAAAGAUGCCUGGAUAAUUUGCAGGUAACGCUACAUCGGUUCAAGGAGUGGACUCUGCAACAUGUACCUCGAGAUCAAAACAGCAAAGCAGAUGUUCUUGCUAAUUUGGGAUUGUCGGUUGAUGACGACAAAUUCAACUUGGGAACGAUCGUGCAACUCAUGAAAUCAGUAGUGGAGGAAGGCCAUGCCGAGAUAAACUUGACAAGCUUAACCUGGGACUGGAGAAACAAGUAUAUAGAUUACCUAAUGAGUGGGAAGCUGCCCUCGGAUCUUAAGGAAUCGAGGGCUCUGUGCACAAAUGCAGCCAGGUUCAGCCUAUCCGAAGACAGCACCUUAAUCAAGAAAACGUUCGAUGGCCCACUCACCAUAUGUCUGGGACCGGGAGAUACCGAAUAUGUUUUGAGGCAAGUUCACGAAGGCACCUACGAGAACCAUUCGGGUGCCGAAUCGUUGGUUCGUAAGGUAACUAGAGCCGGAUACUACUGGAUUGACAUGAAAAAAGACACAAAGGAGUUCGUACGAAGGUGCGACAGAUGUCAGAGGCACGCACCGAUGAUUCACCAUCCCGGGGAGCUACUACGUUCGGUCUUGUCACCCUUUCCAUUCAUGAAAAAUGGAGAAUAAACAUCGUCGGUCCUCUGCCAUGGGCACCCGAUAAGGCUCAAUUUAUAUUAUUUAUGACUCACUAUUUUUCUAAGUUGGUGGAAGCCCAGGCAUUUGAGAAAUUCAGGGAGAAAGAAAUUGAUUUCAUUUGUGACCACAUAAUAUGCCGAUUCAGAAUGUCGGCCGAGAUCGUGUGCGACAAUGCGAAGCAGUUCAACGGCAGUAAGGUGAGCAAAUUUCCCGAAGACCAUAAGAUCAAAAGGAUCCUAUCAACACCCUAUCACCCUAGUGGGAAAAGGCAGGCGGAGUCUACGAACAAAACCAUAUGCCAAAACCUUAAGAAAAGGUUGACCGACGCUAAAGGUAAAUGGAGGGAAAUUUUGCCCAAAGUAUUAUGGGCAUGCCGUACAACCUCAAAAUCCAGUACAUGGGCCAUCCCGUUCUCAUUGGUCUACGGUGCCAAAGCAUUAAUACCUGUCGAAGUAGGAGAACCGAGUCUCAAGUUCUGAUAUGCGACUAAAGAAUCAAACAAUGAGGCCAUGAGUAUGAGCCUGGAACUAUUGGACGAGAGGCGCGAGGCUGCCCUCAUCCGGUUGGCUGCCCACAAGCAACGGAUCGAAAGGUAUUACAAUCGGAGAGCCAACCUCUGUCAGUUCAAUAUCGAAGACUUGGCGUUAAUAAAGGUGAGAAUAAACACUCGGAACCUGAAAGAAGAGAAACUGGGGACGAAUUGUGAAGGUCCAUAUCGAAUUAUCAAGAUCGUCGGCAAAGGAUCGUACAAACUCGAAGCGAUGAAUGGCGAGCGGCUACCAAACAACUAGAACAUAACUCACUUAAAACAAUACUACUGCUAAGGUACGACCCCAUUCAUUACUUUUCUUCACAUAUAUUAUGAAUUGGAUUAACACUUGCAGGUAACAGCUAAGGAAUGGUGCAAUUUUUAGGCCUGAAAGCACGUGUUGCACUCUUUUUCCCUUGAGCCGGUUUUGUCCCAAAUGGGUUUUUCGGUAAGGUUUUUAAUGAGGCAAUAGUGGAUCGUGUGAAACAUAGAAUUGAAGAUCGGUUAUGCACCGGAGUCGAGGAUCGCAUAAACAAUAUCCAAGCCCUUUAUACGAUCGGCCUCGAAUACUGGGGGCCAUCACCCUCGGAUAAUGAUUUUAGCAAGGAAGGAAACAUUGUGCUCGAACAGCCUAGGCUCGAUGGAUAGGAUUUGUUGUAAAGGCCAAACGGUCAAAUGAACCGUGCCCACAUAGACCACUUAAGCCAUAACACGAAGUUUGUAGACAUUUACAAUCUUGUAUGUUGCACACAGAAAUGAAAGAAUGUUUCUACCUUGCAGAUACAUAUUUCGUCUCCUAAACAUUACUAUAUUUUUUUCCUUAAAGACAUCGAGCCCAAGGUCCACCUCUAUCUGGAACCAAGAGAUCACCCCCACUCGAGGAUUAUGUCCAAGAUUAACUCGGACGGCUCGGGUUGUCAAAACCUGGGGGCACAAAAACCUAUUAGGCAGCGCUCGAACCUUAAAGGCAAUGGCCACCCCUACUCGGGGACUGUCGUCCUGGGUAAGACCGGAUGGCUGGGUAGCAAGCCUAUUGGGUAGAACCCGAACUGAAAAGGCUACGGCCAUCCUAAAAAUGGCUCGGAGACGUCCGAUGUCCGUAACCAAAACAUAAGGCCUUAAAAAUUUGCAAACCGGUUCAAAGGAUACCCUCGAAAAAAUUAUAAUCUAAACAAAUUCUAAGUAAGCACUUCAGGGAAGGCUUCAGAUCAUACUAAACCCCCACGAGUCAUAAGCAAAAUUACAUCGAAAACAAGCCUUGUUCAAACUUCCGAAUAAGACCGUAUUAUUACGCGCUAAGGCAUUCGAAAUCUUUGCAAUCGUAAAGAAAAAGCAACAAGAAACAAACUUGAAAAAUAGUCGAAGGGAAAAAAGAGGAGCCUUGUAUAUAUAUAUAAAUAAAGAUUUUUACAAAGGCCAAACGGUCUCAAUAAAAAUAUAAAAUACCAAAACGAAGAAAAAUCUACAAGGAACCUAAGCCUGAUCUUCGCCAGAGCCCGCCUCAUCAGCGGAACUAUCGGGGUCUUCUCCGUCCUUGGAUCCGCCAAAACCCUCGGAGCCUUCCUCGUCCUCGUGAUAUGCUACAUUCUUGGCCUAGCCCUCGAUCCUCUUAACAUUUUAGACCUCGGCCGAUAGAUCGAAACCCCGGGCAUGAACAUCCUCGAGAGCCUCCCUUCGGGACUGCCACUUUACGUAUUCAACAAUGUCUUUUAGGCGGUCCUGGACUGCCUCAGCAUCAGCUUUGUACUGGGCCACUAUCUCUUCAGCAUCGGCCCUCGUUAUUUCUGCCACUAACUUGGACACUUUAAGCUCCUUGGCAAGAGUAUCUCGUUCGGCAACAAUCGAGCCCAGUUGGGAUUGGAGGUCUUCGAUAUUUAGAGAUCGAGCCUCAGCUUUCUCCCACGCCGCUCGAAGUUGAGCCUCCGCCGAGGCCAGUUGCUCCCAGGAAGACUCCUUUUCUGAAGUCAAGCGAUCCAUCUUGCUUUUCCACUCUUCGACCUUGGCCUUAAAUACACCCAUCUCGGCUUAGAGUUGGUCAAGCUUAUGUUGGACCUGCGUGUUUUGACUGUUAGUCUCUAUGUCUAGCUCGUCAUCACUAACUUCAAAAAUCUUUACCCGUUCCACCAGGUUGGCAUGUUCUUUUUAAGUCGCGUCCAACUCGGCUCAGAGGCUCUUGAUUUCUCCUUCACGUUGCUCGCUGAGAAGCUUGUACAUGUCGCUCUUCUCAGCAAGCUCUUUGACUUUUGCCUCGAGUUGGCUAAGCUCAUCCCGGUAUCGAAGAAAGGUUUCAUGGUGAAACACCAAGGCCUGCAAAAUGGAGAAAGCAAAAGGCAUUAGAGUCCUUAAAACCUGAAUCCGAAGAUAAAAAAGAGUGAUAAGAGCUUACCCAACUCAGCUCCUGUUGUGCUUCGUUGAACAAGCAUUUGCGCAUCCACCUCAUUCAUUCUUUCCCGGUCUUCUUCGGUUACCAGGCACCGGAGGUAACUAGCUAUCUCAAUAGGUGCGAAAAGAACUCGGGAAUCCUCGGAAUGUAACAACUACUGAUCACUUCCGACCAGGAUCCGUGAUCGGGGCAGGGAACCGGUUAAUCAGCCUCGGGCUCAAGUUCGGCUCGCCAACAUCCAAGAAUGAACUUUUCCUCGACACCGCAAAGUCACCUAACCCGGUGACAUCUUCUUGAAUGGUUGAGUCCAUGCCAUCAACGAAGCAUCAAAGGGAUCGCUCGCUCCGUGGACCCCUUCGUUCGACCAUUCCUUCAUCGUUCGGGCUUCAUCAAACAUUGACUCUGUAAACGAGGGUAACCCUAAAAUUUCUAUAACAUCGUGCGGGGCAAAACUGGUGUCUCCAGAAGUCUCGGCCAUCGCUGCUGCACCAGCCUCAAAUAAUUGAGGAGGACUAGCCUCCAUUGUUUACCCCUCGGCUGCCACCUGCUCCUCAGGGACAGACGGCUCACGGGCCACAAAGAGUUCGUCCUCUUCGGGCUCGUCUCUGAGCCAUAAAAGUAGGUCUGAGUUAGGCACUCGGGAGCUGGAACUUUCCUUUGGCUUAUGAGCCAACCUUCUCCUUAUUUUCUUUUUCUCCGAACUCGGGGCCCUCUUCCUUUUUUUCUCUCCAGUUGUGGCUCCGGGCUGCCCCAAAGUAGGAAGAUCAGUAGGUAGAUCCUCGCCCCCUACCAAGGGCCUAAGCUCGAUGGUCUUAGGCAAGCCUGCAAAAGCAAGAAAAGAAGCAAUGAAGACUUAGUAUUGAAAACAGAAAGUCUAAUGUUGCCUAGUCCCUCCCAGUGACCCUUUGAGAGCUCGCGCCACGAGCGCUCGGCAUAAGGCAUCUACGAACAAAUGCCCCUGAUCCAUUCCUUGAGCUGAGGAAUGGCAUUUGGGACUCGAGCAAGGGCUGCACCAUAGCAAAUACCGAUAAGAUAAGGCAAGGCAAAACACAAAAUCAAUGUUCAAAAGGAAGUUACACUUACGCGAUACGUUCCAUUUCUCGGGGAAUGGCCUCCACUCGACUAGUAUCAAAUCAGCGGUCUUCACUUGGACAGAGCAUCCUUGCCAACCCCUAUCACGAUCCUCAUCGAUACUUGAAAAUGGUGCUUUGUUGGCCCGACGUACAAGCUUUAUCAGUCCCUCCCGGAAGAUUCGGGGACUGUAUAAGAAGAUUAGAUAAUCAAUGGUGAACAUGCACACAUCGAUUUUGUUCAUAAAAAAUCGGAGGAGGAUCACGAUCCUCCAUAGGGAUGGGUGGAUUGGUCGAGGCAUACAUUGUAUCUCUUAUAGAAGUCCACGAUGAUCGGGUGUACUGGGCCAUAAGGGAUAAGUAUCAACACUCAGAUAUCCCUCAUCAUGUGUAGUGAUAUCGUCAUCGAGCCCGGGAAUCACCACAUCCUUAUCCACCCAGCCGCAGUUCGAUAGGAAGAAUGGAUUUGGUAAUAGAGCAGAUGUACCGUGACACAGCCUCGCAUCGGUCUUGAACUAAAUAAGGUUUUUCAAUCUUAAAGUCAUCAUUGACCAACACACCCCCCGUGGACGAACAUUUUCAAGGGGGCUCGGCUGCUGGUUCAUCGACGGUCGCGCCUGGGGCAGUCUCCUCUACAUCAGUGGUCGGUUGAGAAGAAGAAUGAGCAUCUUUCUGGGGAACGCUCUUUGAAGUCUUUUCUAUUUCUUUUAUAUGGAUAAAAAGGUAUAAAGCUAUGAAGGAGAAUGAGGAGAUAGAGGAUGAUAACUGGCUAAUAAGCACACUGGCUUAAGUAAGGGGUAAGAGAAAGGUUGUAACUUGAAGAACGAAGGUAAGAAUAUUGAGGGAUGAAAGAAGACGGUAAUAUCAAGGUUCCUAGUGAAGUUCUUUGGAAAUGCCUAGAGGUGAAAGGUGUGUCGGUAGCUUACAUCAGGUUGAUAAAAAACAUGUAUGAUGGAGCUAAGACCCGGGUUAGGACUAUGCCUGGUGACUCGGGGCAUUUUCCGAUUGUUAUGGGGUUGCACCAAGGAUCUGCGCUCAGCCCGUUCUUACUUGCCGUGGUGAUGGAUGCACUCACACACCAUAUUUAAGGGAAGGUUCCAUGGUGUAUGUUCUUCGCUAAUGAUAUAGGUAUGAAUGAAAGUGAGGCGGCGUUAACGAGAGGUUGGAGGUUUGAAGACAUGCCCUUGAAUCUAGAGGUUUCAAGUUGAGUAGGACUAAGACAGAAUAUCUAGAGUGUAAGUUCAGCGACAUGACAGGGGAAGCAGACUUGGACGUGAGGCUUGACUCACAAGUCAUCCCCAAGAAAGAAAGUUUCAAGUACCUUGGAUCAAUUAUCCAGGGGGUGAGAAGAUAGACGAGGAUGUCACAUACCGUAUAGGGGUGGUGUGGAUAAAAGCAUCUGGAGUCCUAUAUGACAGGAAUAUGCCAUCGAAACUUAAGGGCAAGUUAUAUAAAGCAAUGGUUAGACCAGCCAUGUUAUAUGGGGAUGAGUGUUAGCCAGUCAAGAAUUUCCAUAUCCAGAAAAUGAAAGUAACAAAGAUGAGGAUGUCGAAAUGGAUGUGUGGGUACACUAGGCUGGAUAAGAUUAGGAAUGAAAAUAUUUGAGAGAAGGUGGGUGUGGCUCCCAUUGACGACAAAAUGCGGGAAGUGAGGCUUAGAUGGUUUGGGCACAUGCAGAGGAGAAGUUAAGAUGCCCCGGUUAGGAGAUCUGAGCGGUAGUCUUUGGCGGGUAUGAUAAGAGGUAGAGGGCGGCCUAAAAAGUAAUAGGGUGAGGUGAUCAGGCAGGACAUGACGCGACUUUAGAUUUUCGAGGAUAUGGCUCUUGAUAGGAAGGUGUGGAGGUUGAGCAUUAGAGUUGAAGGUGAGGAGGGAGUCGAGCGCUUUUCAUCUUUGUGUCGGGGGUGGGGCUAGUUUGUUAGGCUUUUCUCUUGGACUGCUAGAGGUGUAUGUUGUGUCCAUAGUAUUUUUCCGUUUUUCAUAGUAAUGUGGUAUUAUUAUUGGUUGUUGUUAUUGCUUUUCCAUAGAUUUUUUAUUUCUUACGAUGCUAAUAUUAUUUCUCUGAUUUUUGUUGCUGUCACGAAUGCUAUUGUCUAUUUUCGUCUUCUUGAUCUUAGGGUUCCUCGGAAGCAGCCUCUCUACCCCUCCGAGGUAAGGAUAAGGUCUGCGUAUAUUCUACCAUCCCCAGACCCCAUUUGUGAGAUUUAAUCGGAUUGUUGUUGUUGUUGACAUGUAACUAUUUUAUAUAGGAGUUUAUGUACAAAUAAACGACUUUAUAAAAAGCAUCAGCUUUAUUUUAGACAUAACCGAAAUGUUACAAUAUCUCUGAAGCAAAGUGAUAAAGUAAAAAAAAAAAAAAAAAAGAAACAAUCUACUUCAAAAAUUAAAAGAAAAAAUAAAACUAAAACCUAAAAAAGAAAAAAGAAAAGUCUAUUUUUAUAGCCUAUAUAUACCACUACAUUUCUGGUUCUGCCAUUCCAAGUUCACAAAACAACGAAGAAGACUCACUAAUCAAAAGCUCUCUUCUUUUUUUAUUACUCUAUUUCCUUCAUCUUCAUUUCCUUCUAAUUUGCUUCCCUAUUCGAGAUGAACAUUGUUAUAAAUAAUUCUGCCCUUUUCAGAACUAUGGUUUUACUCCAAAAUCACUUCUUCCCUUUGUGUGAGAUGCUUUCUUUCAUGUAAUUUUUAACGGGCUUGGCUAAGGUUGAAUUUGCUUGUUGCUCGAAUUCAAUUGUUAGCCACAAUCCCUCUCAUCUUUCACUUAGCCUUGAACCAACCAAUUCUCAUCAGAAAGUUGGAAAAAAAUGGAGUCUUUCAAUUUCAAGAACAUCAAAGCAGAGAAAGCAAACGCAAUUCUUAGGUACAAAAGGCUUCAAAGGAUCACAACGCUGUUCCGUGUCAUGGAGAUUUGCAUAUUUUUUGUCAUAAUCUCGAGAUUUUCCACUCAAUUGGCAUUUGUUUCCAAGCUUUUUAGUGAGUAUUUCAGGAAACUCCCGCUCGCCCUCAUUAGUCCCCGGUUCAUCUUCGUGCUUGGAAAUGUGAUUGUCAUCGUUUUGUUCUUGAAAUCUAGAGUCUCAUAUGCUAAAGAUAAUUCAUCAAUCAUAACCGAUUUCCAUGACGAGUAUAUGAAAGAAUGUGCAAAGCGCAUAACCAAUUACAGUGAACAGAGCAUAAGCAAUUGCAGAGAACAGAGUAUAAAUAACUACAGCGAACAGAGUAUGAAACAGGGGAAACAGUGCAUUCUUGGAGAGAGAGAAGUUGGAAGGAAAAUUCGAAAGAGCCGUUCAGAAAAUUUGCUGUGUGUCCCCCAGCAUGAGGAGACUAGAAGAGAACUGAGGCGAUCGGCAACGGUGGUCUGCCGAAGAAAUGUGGAUGAUGAGAUGAGUAGUGAAGAUUUCAGGCGAACAGUGGAGGAUUUCAUCGCCAGGCAACAGAGAUUGUUGAGGGAAGAAGAAGAGUUUUCAGCUGAUGUUUCUCCUAAUUUCAUAAGCUAGUUUUUGUUCCAUUUCUCGUUGAAUUUUAUUUUCUUAGGUAAAUGGAGAAAGGUACAACAAUCAUCUUUUUUCUUUAUGACCGCGAAGUAUGAUCCUUCUCUCCCAACGGGAAAAUUUUUAUUGCCUGUGAUAUUUAUACUAAUAAAUCAGUAAAUAUAUGACAUCUGCUCAAAUAUGGGGAAAAAAUUCAUUUAAUUACUAUUAAUAUACGCAUCGUCAUAUCAUAUUAUCAUUUAACCAAGAUAAGUUAACAUUAUUUUACUAAACAUCAAUUUUCAACUUCCUUAGCUCGAUAGUUUUCUUUCAUAGUGAACAAGAAACAGAAAAAUCAAAGUGGCUAAGAGUUUAAACUGGUAAUAGUACACUUCUGUUGGAUUAUAUAUGACAGCGGACAGUAUCAUAUUCACAUAUAAAUUAAAUAAUUAGUAUAUACGGAGAUUAUUCGAGUUACCUCUUGAAGCAUGAACAAAGCAUUAAUAUGGGUCUCCAAUUUCAAAGUAGCAAGACUGCGACCUCAGGAAAACGUUCCACAGUCUUCUAUUGUGUUAUCCAAAUAAUAUCCGGAAAGAGAAAAUUUUGGGUGGGCGAAAUUUCAAGGAAAAACGAGUGCAAAAAACGGUCAGUAUGAAAAGGUUUCCUUUAUUUGCUAUUAUUUAGGCAAGUAGGGACCACAGAAUUUAAUUGAAAAGGCUCCCUAUUAUGAAAUUAAUUUCGAAAUCUACCAUAAUAAAUUAUGAAUUAUUUCACUAAAAAUUCGUAAUUGCACUCCUUAGUUCAAUUUCAAAAUUUUUUCAUAAAACCUUAUUUAACUCCCCGUGUUAAGAUUCAGAUACUAAUCAAUUAAAUUAAAUUACUGACAAUUUAAUUUAUUGAUUACUUUCCUCAGACUUUUGCUUAACUGAUUUCAUGUGUCACAUACAAAAUUCACCGGUCAGACUUACACAUGAAAAUUUAUAAGCCUUCAUAAAGGAGUAUCAUCAAUCUCAAAAGCCGAGACAUGAAUUCUAUCAACUAAUUAUUAUUUCGCCAAUGUAUAUCAUUAUUGUCUAAUUACCAGUCUUAUUGACCCACGAAAGAAUCUCGCUUUUUAAUAAAUCAAAAUAAUAAAUAACACACACAACUAAUAAUAGUUAUAUCAAGAUUAAGAGUAAAAGUACAUUGAAUGAACUAGAGAAAUUAUUUUAAUAAGUCAGUAUAAAAUACUUAUCUCUGGUUGAUCCAUUCAGUACAUACAAAAUAUACUAACACAAGAAGUCGGAAUUAAAUCAUUCCCAUAAUCAAGAUAAAUUAUAUUUAAUCUUGUGCAACAACCAUGGUUUGUCCAAUUCAAUCAUUAGGUUGUGAACAUAAACUUUAUAGCUUAUAAGAAUCAAUGAUUUAAUCUUCCGUGUAUAAGCUAAAUCAUCUAUUAUAUAAGCAAUGGACACACGGACAAAUACAUGAUCUAUUUAAAAUAAAACUUUAUUGAAUAGAACAAAUAAAUAAAUAAUUAUUCCAUAAAGAAUACUAUAACAAUACGCAUGGUUUAUAGUAUAUCCUAACAACUUCAAUUAUCAUUUCUUGCAAGGUCGGCUCUAACAUUAUUAGAGGCAAGGCUUAUGCAUUAACCCCCAAAUUUGGGGGCUCCAUUUUUAAAAAAUAAUAGGUUUAUAACUAUUUAAAAAAUAAUAUUUAGUACUUUUAAUGUAAAAGUAGAGUUUUUAAUAUAAAAUAAAAGAAAGUUCGUUAUAUAUAUAUAUAUAAAUAAAUUAAUAAUAUGAUGUCAUGACCCAAAACUUAACUUGUCGUGAUGGCGCCUAACAUGGUACUAGGCAAGCUGACAACUCAGACAUUCCCAACACUUUCAAAUGAAAAAUGUACUGAAACAAGUUUAAAUAAUUAAAACCCUCAUAAACUCGAUACAAGAUCAUAUCUCAAUAUGGAAGUUCCCAAAACCAGGGUGUCAUUGAGUACAUGAGCAUCUAUACAACACAAGUCUAAAAUACUAUCUAAGAAAAACUGAAACUGAAUGAAUAAACUGAAAGAUAGGGAGGAGAGUCACGUCUGCGGAUGCCAAAGCAGCUAUCUCGAUGAUCUCGAAAUGUCUGCACUCUGUGAAUAAGCAAAUACCUUGACCGAAAACAGUUGGAUCUGCACACGGGGUGCAGGGUGUAGCGUGAGUACAACCAACUCCAUAAGUAACAAAUCAAAUCUUUGUACUGAAAGUAGUGACGGACUCGAAUAUUACAGCCCACAUAAAGAAUUAACAAUACGGUAAUUCACGAAAAAUAUGAGAGUGAUAUCUCAGAAAUUCAUAAUCUACAGAUAAUGGUACAAGAAUUUAGGCAUGCUUUCAGGUUUUGCAAUAAACUCAACACCGAACAGGGCAGAUCCAGCCCAAAUACAAAUAAAUCAGGGCAGAUCCCUAAUUUAUCUUAAUCGCGAUCGCGAAAAUUGCUUCGCGAUCGCGGAGCACAAUUUAACUACCCAGAUAUUCGACCUUACGCGAACGCGUCAAUCCUCACGCAAACGCGAAGGACUGCUUUCCUUAACCUACGCAAUCGCGUCCAUCUUCAGGCGAUUGCGAAGAGCAAACCCUUGACCUCAGGUGCUGCCUCUUAUACUCUACGCGAACGCAACCUUAGUCGUGCGGUCGUGAUUCACUGCAUCCUACAACUACGCGAUCGCAGCCCCUAUCUCACGAACACGUAGAGCAAAGACCUCCACUACCCAAUUAAGCCUACGCGAUCACGAACCUGUCCACGUAAUCGUGUAUAAGAAAACCAGAAUAAUGCACCAGAAAAUUUCAACAAAUCUCCAAGUCCAAAAAUUGAUCUGUUAACCAUCCGAAACUCACCCGAGGUCCGCGGGACCUUAACUAAAUAUACCAACAAGUCCUAAAAUUAGUCGAGACUUCAAAUCACAUCAAACAAUGCUAAAAUCACGAAUCGCGCAUCGAUUCAAGCCUAAUGAACUUUUAAACUUCUAACUUCUACAUUCGAUGCCGAAACCUAUCAAAUCACGUCCGAUUGACCUCAAAUUUUGCACACAAGUCACAAAUGAUAAAACAAACCUACUCCAACUUCCGAAACCCCGUUUCGAUCCCGGUAACUACAAAGUUAACUCUCGGUCAAACUUCUAAAUUUUUAACUUUCGCCAUUUCAAGAUUAACUCAACUACGAACCUCCAAACCACUAUCCAGACACACUCAGUCCAAAAUCACCCAACGAAGCUAACAAAACCAUCAAAACUCCAUUUUGAAGUCAUUUACAUAUAAGUCAACAUCGGUUUAACCUUUUCAACUAAAGCUCCCAACCUUGAGACUAAGUGUCUCAACUCAUUCUGAAACAUCCCCGGAACCGAACCAACUACCCUGACAUGUCACAUAGCAAUUAUUAAGCAUAAAAUGAGCAGUAAAUGGGGGAACGGGACCACAACUCAAAAUAACCGGUCGGGUCGUUACAUAUGACUUGCUUAAAAUGGGUAGAUAAAUAGUUUUCCCAACCUUCCAAUUUUUUACUUUUUACUCCUUCAAUAGAUAACGUGUAAAAAUUUUAGUCUCCCUUUCUUAAUUUGUUCAAGUCAAUCUUUCGUUUACCCAAUGUCUUUGUUUACCUUCAUUAUGGAUGACAAUUGAAUUUAUGUGCGGUUUUAACGAUAUAUGGAAUAAUUCAAUACAAGCGAUUAAUAACGUUAGAUUGGCAAAUUAAAGAUAGAACAAAUGGCCAAACCAGUAGUAGUAUUGAGUCCGAGCUCGGUUAUGAGAUUAACAAUUAGCGUGCCUUCGGUUCGGAGCCAAAUACUUAUGAAGAACUAUGAGCAAAAAUAAGAACUUUGAAUAACUUUUAGAAGCAGAGAAAACAAAUGUAUAUUGCAUUGGUAUGCGUGUUACAGUAUGCCUCUUGAAUAAAAACUAUCUCUUUUAUAUAGUAGAAGAGUUUCAUCCCUAGUACAAUUUUGUGAAAGGUUAAAGAUCUUCUUUUUCGUUAAUUACUGAUCUGUUGCCGAUACGGGCCGAGAUUCACGCCGUGAUACCCAGUCUCGCACGGAUAUCACAGCCCUUCACUAGCCGUGUGCAACUUCUUUGUAGUAUUUUCUAGAGUCAUGGGCUCGAACAGGGCCUGGGGUUGUGGUGUCGAUAGCUUUGAGGGCAGGUGUUUUGUUCGGGCAUUGAUACAAGAGGUUCCUAGCUUUGAUUUCGAUUCCUUAUAGUUACGUCCUUGCUUCGUUUGUCCCAUCGAGAAAUAGGGGUGCUCAUUAGCCCUUGAUUUACCCAUAUACAGAUAGUCCCCUUGUUUCUUAGAGAGUAGGUUUGCUGAAGCGAUGAGAAACGAUAGAUGUUCUCUAGUUCCUUCCUCUAUACGUUACAACUGAAAUGACGAAGAAAUCAAAACGUCCCAUCAGUCGCGUCAUUCGAAUUUCGAACACGUGUCAACCAUCGGCUAGUUGCCUUCGAAUGUGAAGCGUCGCGUACUUCCCCUAUAAAAGCUUCUAUCCUCUAUUCUUUUUCCACUUUCCGAUCAAGUUUCCACCUUCAAAUUUUCCAGCUAUCACCAACUUCUUUCAAACCUUCAUAUCUUCAUCCUUGAUCUUCAAAUUCUUAUAGUUGUUCUUAGGUUCUUACCCUGCUUUUCUUCAAAUCUUCAUACACUGCUCUUUAGAUUUCAAAGUUGUUCUUUCAAAUCUUUGUGUUUUUUCUUUAGAUUUUCAAACUUUUCUAGAUAGCAAUGGCUAAAACAUCUAAAGCAGUACCUCAGCAGGUUGCCUCUUCAUCUUCCCAACUGGCCGUUAGUACCGAGGCGGUCGCUCCCAAAAUAGUUUUUCCUUGAGACGGCUGCUCCCAGAGUGGCUACCACCGAACCGGCCCCCGAGGCCCCCUUAAAAAGCUUUAUUCCCGGGGGCUGUUCAAUUGCGAAUGACUUCAAGGUCAAGAAACCCUCAUCCAAACAAGACCGGGGUAAAGGUGCAUCGAGGUAUAUAUGCUCUGUUACCGAACAUGUCCUUCCCGUGGUCCGAGAGGACUGUAAAUGGGAAGGUAAGGACGUAGUAGUCCCCAGGCCCAAGGAUUCUAUUACUACCCACGUGGAGGGGUAUUUAAGUCUUUACACUUACCCCUUCACACUAGGCCUAGCAGACCCGGUUGUUUUGGAUUUUUGCAAAAGGUACAUGGUGUGCCAUGGGAAAAUCCACCCAUCUCUUUUGAGGAUCAUAAUCCUCCUCCAUUAUUUUAUGGACAACACCGAGUCUCGUCGGUUUACCCUCGACCACCUACUCUGUUUAUACAGUCCCCAAAUUUUUCGAGGGCGACUAAUCAAGAUUACUCGUCAGGCCAGCAAGGCCCCCUUUUCGAGCAUUGAUGAAGACCGAAACUGGCAGGAAUGCUUCGUUCGGAUGAAGACUGAUGAUCUGAUCCCUCCCGAGUUCAUGCCAUUCCACAAAAAGUGGAAUGCAUCUUGUAAGUGCGGUUAUUCCUUAAGUGUAAAUUUUUCUUCAUUUUAUUUCUCAUCAUUCGUAUUUGGUUAUGCAGCUGUUGCCCGGGUUCCAAAUGCGGUCCCCCGGCCUAAGGUGUAGAUCGAGGGCAUCUGCAAGUAGAUGUCAUACUUCGAGCGCUCAUGGUGCAAGCUUUCGAAGAGCCGAUGUGAGGCCCAUUCUCAUGGUAAGGUUCUCCUUUGAAUAGCUAUUAACUUGUUCUUAACUCACAUCAUAUUGACCUUUCUUUUUCCUUUUAUAGGUUUGCCUAAGACCACCGAACUUAGGCCUUUGGAAGGGCUUGAGGACAUGUCCUUGUCCAUUAAUCCAUCUAUUACGGGACAGCCCGGGGCUACCGCGGGGAAAAGAAGAAGAGGAAAAGAAAAUCUUCGGGCUCCUCGGGUUUCGAGGUGACCAAAAAGAAGAGGGUGGCUCGUAAGCCCAAAAAGAGUACCAGCUCUGGGGUUCCAGAUUCCGACUCGCUUCUCAGGCUCAGGAAUGAGUCGAAAGAAGACGAUAUUUUUGUUGCCCAUGGAUCGACUCCUCCCAGGGAGCAGGCCACAGCUGUGGGGAUGGACCGUGAGACCAACCACCCUCUGACUCAAGAGAUCCAGAUGGAGACAGGGGCUGAGACCCCCGAGAAGCUGGUUGCACCAAAGAAAGCGACCGGUGUAAUAGAAAUCAUGGGAAUGCCUUCUUACACCGAGUCCAUGCUUGAGGGGGCCCAAGCAGGAAAAGAGAAAUCAAAUGAAGGAGUCCACGGUGCACACGAUCCACUUCAUUCCUUCUUCAAUGGUGUGGAUUGUCUAUUUUGGAAGAUUUUUCAAGGCUGGGCGACCUGGAAGUCCCGAAGAAUGAUAUAUCUUCGGAGGCUGGUGGGCCGAGUUCAAGCCCAAAGCUGGUUGAACGGUUUCCCGCUUAGAGUGUUGACCUUGGUCACAAGAGAGCGGUUAUUCUCACUGUCUCGGAGGAUGCCCAAGUUCUAUCUACUCCCGUGAGGGUAGCCAGGUACGUCUGAUGCCUGGUGACCGAAGAUGACUGGGCAAAAAUGAACGAGGUGGAUGUGCCGUGUCUUUCCAAUGAGGCGGCAGGCGCAGUACCGGGUAAGGCAUCAUUAUAUUUUCUUGAAUUUUACUUAGGUUUUGAUAUCUCUCAUGACUUUCAUCAUUUUGCAGGCCUCGGUACUUCACCACGAGAGCUUCCUCCUGUAUCGUGUCGAGGUUAAUAAACUCAAACUUGAGCUCAAAGAGCAGGUUCAAAAGAAGGAUACGUACAAGCUCAUCAGCGAGAAACAAGACAGUGUCGUCAAGGACUUUUAGGCCGAGCUGGAUAGGGCUCAGAAGGAAGCAUUGACCCUAAGGCGGGAACAUGCCGACCUGAUCGAAAAGGUAAAGGACUUUGAGGCUAUAAAUGAGGAACUAGUCAUAGUGGAUAACAACAAAACCUCACAGGUCUAACAGAAGAUCGACCAGAUCGACCAGCUCCGAAUCAAGAUAAAUGAGGUCCAAGCCAUGGCCGACGGGUGGAAGAGCAAAAUGGACCUACUGGCUUCAGAGAAGGAAACCACCCAAGCAAAGCUUACAUCGGUAGAAGUUCAACUUUGGGUGGCGAAGAAGAAAGCCAACAAGCGGUCCCAGCUGAAUGACAAUCUCCGAGCACAAUGGAGCUCAGCUCUAGUAGAGCGGGACGCCCUCGGUAUAGAAGACAAAGCAGUAAAGUCCAAGUUGGACACAACCUGCGCCGAUGCCGAAGCGAUGGUGGCCCUGUACAAGGCCGAUGUCAAAGCAGCUGAGGCCCCCCGAACACCAAUGCCGAAUAUAUGAGGCGAUUAUCUCAAAGGGAAACCCUUGAAGAGAUUCAUGCCCGAGGCUUUGACAUGUCGGCCGAGAUCAAGGAAGCAAAAAAUUUUAAGGCCAAGGCGAAGAAACUUUCCGAGCCCGAAGGUGCUAAAGACUCUAAGGGUUCUGAUGGAUCCGAAAGUUCUGACGAUUUUGGCGACUAAUCAGGCCCCAGUGAAGAUCAGGCAUGAAUGCCUUAGAACCUUUUUAGUUUUUGUCUUAUGUAUAUUUUUUGUUUAUAUUGAGGCCAUUUUUGUUAGGCCUUUGUAAAUACAUUCUGGAAUAUAUAAAAUCUCCCUUUCUGGCAAUUUUGAGUCUCUACCUUUUUAGCAUCUUUUCAUAAUUUCUAUUCUUGCAAAUAUUUCUAAUGCCUUAGCAUAGAAUCAAAUGUAGUAAUAAAUCGUUCAAUUUCGGACGUCUGAACAGAGCCUGACUUUGAUGCAACUUUAUUUGCUCGAGGCUUUGAAAACUCGGAGUGACCAAAAAAUUUUAAGUGAUUUUAGACAAUGAUUUUGUCGAGGGUAACCUUUCAACAGGUUUUGAAUUUUUAUGAAGGCCUUAUGUUUUUAUUACGAUCUUCGGACGUCUCUUAUCCUUUUUUAGGGUGGUUGUAGCCUUUGUGUUUAGGCACUACCUAAUAGAUUUUGUGCCUUCAGGAUUUGGUAGCCCGAGUUGCCUGAAGACUAUUAGUAUGACAGUCCCCGAGUAGGGGUAGCCCUUGGGCUUAAUAGUCUCCGAAUAGGAUUAAGAUAUAUGUAUUAAGAGGCAAAAAUAUGUGAUAGCAAUGUGGAAACCUUCUUUCAUUUCUGUGUGUAAAGUACAUGAUCGAAAGCGGGCAAAAUCUUGUAUCACGGCUAAGGUGGCUAUGUGGGCACGGUUCACUUGACAUUUGGCCUGUACAAUAAAUCCUAACCACCGAGCCUAAGCUAUUCAAGUAUAAUGUUUCCUUCUUUCCUUGCUAAGAACCUUAACUCGAGGGUGAUUGCCCUUGUAUUCGAGGUCGUUCUUGAGAGGACUCGGAUAUUGUUGAUGCGCCCAUUGACUUCGAUUUAAGACCAGCCUACAAAUCUAAGAUAGCACGAUUUGCUGUUGCCUUGUUAAAAAACUUGCCGAAAAAACCAUCUGGGACAAAAUUGGUUCGAGAAAAAAAAGAGUGCAACGCAUGCUUUCGAUCCCAAUUGUAACAUUCUACCUUGGUCAUUGCCUGCAAGUGUUAGUCCGAUUCAUAAUAUUAUUAAAAAGUAAAUGAGAUUGUACCUUAGCAGUAGUGCCACUUUAAGUGCGUCACGUUCCAAUUGUUCCGUAGCUGCACACUAUUUGCUGCGGUAAUUCUGACGACUCAAUAUGGUCCUUCCCAAUUCGGCCCCAGCUUUCCCUCAUUCGGGUUCCGGGUGUGUAGUGUUACUUUCCUUAACACCAAGUCCCCGAUCUUGAAGUGUCAUAGAUUGGCUCUUCGGUUGUCAUAUCUUUCUAUCCGAUGUUUCUGGGCGGCCAACCGGACUAGGGCGCCCUCACGCCUAUCAUCCAACAGUUCCAGUCUCGUGCUUAGGGCCUCACCAUUUGAUUCCUCAGUCACAUAUCGGAACUUGAGGCUCGGUUCUCCCACUUUGACUGGUAUCAACACUUCGGCACCACUGACCAAUGAAAACGGGGUGGCCCCGGUACUAGACUUCGAAGUUUUACGCUAUGCCUACAAGAUUUCGGGCAAUAUUUCUUUCCAUUUCCCGUUGGCAUCAGUCAACCUCUUUUGUAGGUUUUGAAGUAUGGUCGUGUUUGUUGAUUCCGAUUGUCCGUUCCCACUAGGGUAAUAUGGUGUCGAUAGUAUAUUAAUAAUCUUAUGGUCUUCGAAAAACUUAUUUACCUUUCUGCCGAUGAAUUGCUUCUCAUUAUCACAUACGAUCUCGGUGGUAUCCUGAACCAGCAUAUUAUGUGGUCCCAAAUGAAGUCAAUGACUUCUUUUUCCCAGAAUUUCUUGAACGCUUGAGCCGAACCUAUUUAGAAGAAUAAUAGUUCAUUAACAGUAUGAAUUGAACCUUACCAGGAGCCCACGGCAAGGACCAAUGAUGUCCAUUCUCUACUUCAUGAAUGGCCAUGGGGACAAAACCGAAUAUAGUAGCUCUCCGGGUUGAUGGAUCAUCGAUGUGUGUCUCUAACAGUCGUCGCAUCUUUGUACGAAGUCCUUUGCAUCUUUUGCUAUAUCGAUCCAGUAAUAGCUGGCCCUGAUUAUCUUCCGAACCAAAGAUUCUGCCCCUGAAUGGUUUUCGCAAGUGCCUUCAUGAACUUCUCUAAAGACAUAUUCGGUAUCUCCUGGCCCCAAUCAUAUGGCGAGCGGGCCAUGGAAUGUUCUUCUGAACAGAGUCCCUUCAGACUGGCUAAACCCAACCUCUUUCGUGCAUAGAGCUCUAGAUUCUUUAGGAUUAGAGGGAAAUUUAUCAGUCUUCAAAUAAUCUAUGUAUUUGUUUCUCCAAUCCCAAGAUAAACUUGUUGAUUUUAAUUCGGCAUGUCCUUCUUCUACUACCGAUUCCAUGAGUUGUACUACUGUUCUUGAACUGAAUUCAUCGUCAUCAAUCGAUGACCCCAAGUUAGUUAGAGUAUCGGCUUCACUAUUUUGAUCUCGGGGCACGUGUUAUAGGGUCCAUUCCAUUAAUUGAUGAAGCGUUACCUGCAAUUGUCUAAAUACCUUUGCAUUUGUACCUCUUUUACUUCGGACGUCCCAUUGUCCCUUCGGACUGGCGCCAAUUUUUGGAGGUGAGGAUACCUUUUUUCGGCCUAGCCUAGAGUUCUACUAACAUAGUAAAUAGGAAAUUGCAUACCUUCCUCUUCUCGGACUAAGACUCCAUUUACCACCACCUCGGGUACUGCCAAGUAAAGGUACAACUGCUCAUCCGCCUUUAGAGUAUGGAGCAGGGGUGGACUCUAAAGGUACCGUUUGAGUUCUUCAAAGCUAGUUAGCACUCUAGAGUACAAGAAAAGUUAUUCUUCUUCUUCAGUAAUGAUACCAAUGGCUUUUGUCUGAGGACCUCGAUAUGAACUAGACCAGGGCGACCAUGCACCCAGUUAGCCUUUGAACGGCCUUGACACUGUUCACCAUGGUGAUGUCUUCUAUAUCUUUGAUUUUAUCGGGGUUGAUCUCGGUCCCUCAAUUGGACACCAUGAACCCAUGAAAUUUUUCGGACCAGACCCCAAAUGUGCAUUUUUCGGGGUUCAACUUCCUAUUAUAUCUCUUCAAUAUGUCAAAGGUUUCCUGAAAAUGUUUCAAAUAGUCCUUUUCUCGAAGGGACUUAACUAACAUAUCGUCACUAUAAACUUCCAUCGAUUCUCCUAUCUGUUCUUUGAACAUCCAAUUUACAAGGCGUUGAUAAGUGGCACUGGCAUUCUUUAGUUCGAACGGCAAUACAUUAUAACAAUAAGUGUCAAAUUUAGUGAUAAAGGAAGUUUUUCUUGAUUGCUCGGGUCCAUCUAGAUUUGGUUGUACCUAGAAUAGGCGUCGAGAAAGUGGAGUAUCUCGUGCCCGGUUGUCGCAUCGAUCAUACGAUUGAUGUUAGGCAAAGGAAAAGAGUCCUUAGGGCAUGCCUUAUUCAAGUCUUUUUAAUCUACGCACAUACUUAAUUUAUUUUCCUUUUUAGGCACUACCACUAUGUUAGCUAACCUGUCCGGGUAUUUAACUUCCCAAAUGAAACUUAUUUUAAGGAGUUUAAAUACCUCGUCUUUGAUGAAGGCAUGCUUGACUUCGGACUGAGGCCUCCUCUUUUGUUUAACCAACAGAACUUCUGAUCCAAAUUCAGCUUGUGAGUGGUUAUCUCCAACGGGAUCCCUGUCAUAUCAAGAUGGGACCAGGCAAAACAAGAUAUGUUAGUUUAAAAGAAACUAAUGAGUUCUUUCCUCAUCUUGGGGGUCAACCCCGUGCCCAGGUAUACAUUUCAAUCCGUCAGGUGUUCGGUCAAUAUAACUUGCUCCAGUUCUUUGACCGUAGAUUUAGUGGUGUCGAUAUCAUCAGGAGAUAUGAACGAUCUAAGAACUCCGUAAUCAUCUUCCUCAUUGACUUCUAGUUCCUCCGGUCCGAUCGGGACCGGCAUCGAUGAUUGCUAUUUAACUUUGGCCUUUCUGGUCGGCUCCCUGCUUUUUAAUGUCCAAAAGGCAGGUACUGGGUUUACUUCAUUGACUGCAAACAAAUCCUUUACAACCGGCUGCUCUCCGUCCAAUGUCUUGAUCCCUCCCGAUGUAGGUAACUUUAAUGCAUGUUACAAGGUUGAAAGUAUCGCCCUCAUGUUGUGAACCCAUGGUCUUCCCAAUAGAGCAUUAUAUCUCAUAUCCCCUUAGAUCACAUAGAAUUUUGUUUCCUGAAUGGUCCCGACGGUGUUCAACGGUAGGGUUAUCUCCCCUUUAGUAGUUUCACAUGCCAUGUUAAAUUCGUUCAACACCCGGACUGCUGGCACUAUAUGGUCUUAUAAACCCUGCUCUACAACCCUUGAUCUAAUGAUGUUGGCCGAGCUACAUGGAUCAAUCAACACACAUUUAACUCAAGAUUUAUUUAUAAGUACACAUAUUACCAGUGCUCCAUUAUACAGUUGUACGAUGCCUUUGGCAUCCUCAUCGUUGAACGAAAUGGUUCCUUCCGGGAUAUAGUCUCGGGUUCGUUUUUCCCUUGUGAUGGAUACCUUAGUGUGCUUUAGUAUUAGUCCCUGGGGACAUCGAAUCCUCCAAUGAUCAUGUUGAUGAUGUGUUGAGGUUCUUCUUGUUCGGUCUGUUUGUUGGAGUCCUUGUUCCUGAAGUGAUUUUUGGCUCGAUCACUCAGAAAUUACCGGAGAUGCCCGUUACUAAAUAACCAGGACACUUCUUCUCUUAAUUGUUGGCAGUCCUCGGUUCUAAGGCCAUGAGUGCCAUGAUACUUACACAUCAAGUUAGGGUCUCUCUGGGUAGGGUCAGACUGCAAUGGUUGAGGCCACUUGGUAUCCUUGAUGCGCCCGAUGGCAGAUAUGAUACUGGCUGCAUCGAUAUUAAUGUUAUAUCCCGUUAACCUUGGUGCCUCCCUGGCCCGAGUGGCCUGUCGAAACCGUUUUUACUCAUGAGUCCCGGCUAUUGUGGCCUCAAUCAUUCCUCUAUUUGUUUCUCGUAGUGUUAAGCCUAGAUCCGUUACCUCUUCGAUCUCCGUUAUACAGUUGAUACCGGUAUCUGUUCGGUCUUGGUUCAUGAUCGAUGACUCUCUUAGACCUGUCAUUAGUUCUGAUGGGAUAACCAGACUCGGAGGGGCCCCCAAGUUGAUCGUCCUCGACUCUAAUUUUUGACUGGCACCUGCUACAGACGUCGGCCUACGUUACCGCCAGGUAUUGUAUCAAAUUCUAUUUCAACUGCUGUGAAGCCAAGGAGCUUCAGGGGGUUGAGUCCUUGAGUGAAUGCCUGAACGACCCAAUCAUCCGCAACCAGAGGCAGGUCCAUCCGUUCCAUUUGAAACCUCGAUACGAAUUCCCUGAGCAUUUCGUUGUUUCUUUGUUUUACCUUGAAAAGGCCUUAUUUUCUGGUCUCGGCCUUGAUGGCCCCGGCAUGCACUUUCACAAAGGCAUCUGUAAGCAUAGCAAGCGAAUCAAUAGAAUUUGGGGGUAAGUUGUGAUACCAUAUCAUUGCUCCCUUUGACAGGGUUUCUUUAAACUGUUUUAAUAAAACUGACUCGAUUUUGUCAUCUUCUAAGUUAUUUCCCUUUAUGGCCCACAUGUACGAUAUUACGUGCUCAUUUGGAUCUAUGAUUCCAUUAUACUUCGGAAUAUCGGGCAUACGAAACUUCUUCGGAAUUGGCUUCGGUGUCGCGCUAGGAGGAAAAGGCUUUUGGACAAAUUUCUUGGAGUCCAGACCUUUCAAUAUCGGGGGCGCUCCUGGGAUUUGAUCAACUCUGGAGUUAUAGGUCUCCAUUUGUUUGCCAUUGGCCUCAAUUUUCUUCUCCCCCGAUUUCACACACUUUGUCAGUUCCUUAAGCAUUUUUAUUCUUUCGGGGUUGGCCCCGGGCUCAGCUUCACCCGGCCUUUCUGUGACUUGCUCAUUUCUUUGGGUGUUUUCAUGGGAUGGUUCGGGCUAAAAUCUGCUGGGGGUGUGGCUUUGAUUCUGCAGUUGUGCUAUCGCCACCUAUUGGGCAUGAAACAUUUCGAAGAUCGUCCGCAUAUUGAUUCAGUCUCCUUCACCUUCGGGCGUACCUCAAGUCGUUGGUUGGGCUCUCCGCGAAUGUUGUUUUUCGGGUCGGUCGACAGGUUAGCAUCGAUGGUAACAUGUGAGUUGGCAUCUAUCGGGUCUGCAACUGGGACUCCGUUGGGAUCAGCAGGGGGCACCUCGUUUCUAGGUACUACAUUGUUAUUUUCGCAAUGAUGGACAGACUCAUCAUCAACGUUUAAGUGAGCAGACUGAGAGUUUGACAUUCUUAGGUAGAUCUAAAAUUAAAAUCUCAAAGAACAAGCGCAAAAUAGAGUGUGUUAUGAAAAAUUAUAUCAAACUACCACUACUAUCCUUAGCCCCAUGGUGGGGGCCAAAUUUUUUACCCUUAAAAAUAGAUAACAGUUAAAUUUAUACACAAUUUUAAGGAUAUGUGGACUAAUUAACUACAAGUGUCUAAUAACGUUAGAUGAGAAAAUUAAAGAUAGAAUAAACAACCAAAUCAGUAGUAGUAUUGAGCUCGGUUAUGAGCUUAACAAUUAGCAUGCAUUCGAUUCGGAGCCAAAUAUUUAUGAAGAACAAUGAGCUAAAAUAAGAACUUUGAAUAACUUUUCGAAGCAGAGAAAAGAAAUGUAUGUUGCCUUGCUAUGCCUGUUUUAGUGUGUCUCUUGAAUAAAAAUUAUCUCCUUUAUAUAGUAGGAGAGUAUCAUCCCUAGUACAAUUCUAAAAAAGGUAAAAAAUCUUCUUUUUCAUUAAUUACUGAUCUGCUGCCGAUACAGGCCGAGAUUCACAUCGUAAUACCCGGUCUGGCGCGGAUAUCACGGCCCUUCGCUAGCUGUGUGCACUGCUUUGUAGUAUUUUUCAGAGUCAUGGGGCUCGAACAGGGCCCGGGGCAUGGUCUCGAUAGCUUCGAGGGUAGGUGUUUUGUUCGGGCCUUGAUACGAGAGGUUCCCAAGUUCGAUUUCGAUUCCUUGUAGUUAUGUCCUUGCUUCGUUUGUCCCACCGAAAAAUCGGGGUGCUCAUUAGCCCUGGUUACCCGUAUACACUCUUCAUAUUCAAAACCCUACAUAUUUUUUGUCUUUCUCUUUAAUAUUCUUACUCACAUUCUUUCUCCAAGAUUUUAUUAGUUUAAGUGUUCGACAAUACUUUUAAACUUCCAAUAGCUCUAUACUUCUAUUGCUCUAUAAUAACUUAUUUAAAAUUAACAAUAUCUCAAGAAAGACUAAAUGAGUUGAGUAUAGUAUCAAUUGAAAAAAGAAUUAUUUGAAAAAAUAUUUAUAAAAAUAUUAUUAACAAUUUUAUACCUUAUAAAGCUAGAAGAAUAUUUCAAACAAAAAUAUAUACAAUAAAUUCUUUUUAAAAAUUUAUGCCUCAUAUUAAAUUUUGACCCCGCAUAUACUUGAGCGGCCCCUAAUUUCUUGGCGUUGAGCUAUCUGCAUGGAAGCCAACUCCCAUGUCGCUUACUACUACGAUGACCCUUACUUGAUUUCUGCUCCGUUACAUAUUCACAAGAUCUAAUCAUAUCUUAUAAUUACCUACACUAUCUUGACUAUGACAAUACGUAAAAGAUUUGUAUCAUACUUUAUAUUCAUAAUACGUAGGAAGCUAACUCAAUCCAAAAAGUAUUAAAAUCUCAUGUUGAGUCAUUAUGGUUUUAGUAUUCUCAAAAGAAUAAUUCUUUUUCAAGGAAGAUUAGACAUAUCGCGUGUGGACAAUAGAAGCAAGGUGAUGAUGGCUACUCACUUCAUGCAUUCACACGUAUUAUUAGCAUAGUUCCAUGACCUUUUUGGAUCCUAAAAAAGUUUCAUAACCUUUUUACUAUUGAUAUUAUUGUUAUUUGUUUUGCCAUUAUUUUAAGAUAAAAUAACCAAAGUAAAUAUAGUUGUGGAAUAUAGGUAUAUAAUAUAAAAUCAUGCUACUGUUUUAGUAGUAAACCAGUAAUAUGAGUAUUGAAUAUCUUAGAUGUAUAAGAAAGCAUAAAGAAGUAUAUGGGCAAAAGCAGAUGUAGAAAUUGACUUGGUUUUGCCAGCCUUUGUCCUUUCUUCAAUUUCCAAAGAAGCACCUCUACCUUUUAAUGCACUUAACUAUUUUGAUAUUUCAACAAAUCGUCUCUACCCUACUUUUAUUCCUAAAUCCUAACUAAGACACAUGAUCUUAGAGUUUUUUUUGCAAAAUUUCUUUCCUGAAGGACAAUGUCGGAUGGGAUAGGAUAGAUCAUAAAAAAUAAAAAAUAAUAAACAAAAUUAUAGCUAUUGUCGUUUGUAGAGCUUAAUAAGUAAAAGCUGAAUCGGGAUUUAAGCUUUAUGGUUUUUAAAUUUUAGGAUAGUAUCAUCCGGUGUUAGUAAAUGGGUUUUGAAUUUAAUAUUUAGAUAUACUUAGUGAAUUUCAUAAUACAAAUACAUGAUUUGAACUAAAGCUAUUGAGUUUAACUUAACUAGUACAUCGACUUCUAGCUCCACUCCUGUCAAUAAAAGGUUGAGACCAAAAUGUUAAAUAUAUUUGAGGAAACAAUCGAAAAAUAUGAACGCAUGUUCAUAUCUAUCACUAAAUUAGAUAAAAUACUUUUUUUUUUAGUAUGUUCCAAAAUAAGUGACACAUUUCUAAAUUUAGAAAUAAUUCAACUUUAAACUAUUCAUUUUACUCAUUUUACUCUUAAUGAGAAGCUUUUAUAACCACACAAAUAUCAUGGCCCCACAAAGUUUUUACCCCUUAAGUUUUUAAGGUCAUAAGUUUCAAAAGUCUUUUCUUUUUUGUUAAACUUCAUGCAGAAUGAAACUAACUCAUCUAAAUUGAAAUGGAUGGAGUACUAUUUAGCAAUAUGUAUCUGAUACCAUCUACAUCGAUGUUCACCACCAAAAUUAUUAAAAAGAUCUCUCUUACUAUUAAGACAUAGAGGAAUAUAACUGGAACACCCUCUGAAUAUAGUCGCAAGAAGUUAUUUUAUUUUAUUUUUCUUGUUUAUCCAAAGUGAGACAAAGAAAUAAAAAAAUCGUAGCUGCUUCUAAUUUCACCUAACUAAUAGUGUUCCGAACCUAUUUUCUUUUUGGUACAUUUCAAAAAGAAUGAACUUUUUCUAAAUUUAGAAACAAUUUAGUUUAAACUUCAAAUUAUACCUUUAAUGAGAAGUUUUUAUAACCAAACAAUUACUCUGGAUUUCUUUUAACUUAUUUAGGACCACAAAUUUCAAAAGUCUUUACUUUUUUUUAAACUCCGUGUCCACUCAAACUGCAUCACAUAAAUUGAAACGGGAGUACUGUUUUAGUUAAAUGGAUUUUCGUAACCUUUUAAAAGCAUUCCACUAUCUCAUACGUAUUGUUUUAUUCGACCUAACAAUCUUAUGUUCAUAGGUUGGCCGCUUUUAGAUGUCUAUUUCCUUUUCUUUCUUCUUUUCACCAACCCAUUGCUGUCUUACUUCCAAUUUCCAAAAGUGGAAACUCCUGUAGAAGUAACAAGUGCCCCCAAGAGAGUUGAAUUUUUCCCCGAUUAGCCCUUAACUCCUAAAGUGCGCAAAUAUUAAUUUAUUUUAGGAACAGAAAGACAAAGAAUCUUGAAUAAUAAUGCUUAAUUGGUAAGUAUUACUCUGACAUUUCUCCUUCCUUUACCACUUGCAAAUCAAGAGAGAACGUACUUAACUCACAGCUACCAAGCUUCAGAAGGGUUAAUUAAUAGUCUUAACCGUGUACUUAUAAGACCACAAACUGAACACAAUUAACAUAAAUAAUCUGCCACACCUCCUUUUUCCCGCAGGAUAGGGAUAGCGGAGUUUUUCCAAUUUAAGUGACAUUAAUCGAAUUGAGAUUAUUUGUUUAUUUUCAGAGUCGUCACUCGAAAUUAUUUAUUUACGGUGUUCCGAGUCACCAUUUAUUUUAAAAUCUCAAAUCGAGGAAGUUUUGACUCUGUUUUAAAGUCUGCAAAAACCAAAAAAUCGGGUAAGGAAUUCUGUUAACCCGGGAGAAGGUGUGAGGCACUCCCGAGUUUCGUGAUUCUAGCAUGGUCGCUUAACCAUUAAUAAUUGGCCUAAUUAUCUGAUUUAUUAUAAGUUUUAAACCUAUUGUGCAUUUUUAACCUUUUACCGCUUAUAAUUAUUUAUGGAAUUAUUUUGGAACAAGUCACGAUGUCGUACACUUGUCGUUUUGGUACACGUCGCAAACCGCGACACAUGAAAUGCACCCGCAAUUUACGACGUGUUUAUUUUAAUUAUUGUUUGAAGUUAUGGUCGGGUCACAUGAAAUCCACACCCGAAUGGGAUUUACGUAUUACGACUAUGCCACGGGAACCGUACCCAUAGUUUUGAUGAUUUAAUUACGCGCCUAAAGCAAACUACAAUGUUUAUGGAUUGUUAAUAUCUAGGUUUGAGAUAAAAACAUGAAGGUCAUUUGUUUUGGAUGGACUGCAGAUAUUCUCGCCUAAGUCCGCUGGGGGUGAUGAAUUGGUAAAAAGGAAAAACUCUUAUUAAGGAUUUCAACAUGGCCCAAGUAUAUAGGAUGGGCCUAAGACAGAUUCCAAAUUUGUAGGGCAUGGACUGAAGUUAUACUAAAAAAAGAUUCAUAGAAUCUUCAAUUUAUAAAUACAUCGUACUCAAAAAACCCUUCAGGGUCUGGCCCAAUUAUAUUAGCUUGACUAAAAUGAAACUGGCCAUCAUGACUAGCCCAAUAGCACAGGAAGAUUACAUUGCACAAAGAAGCAUUAAUUAAUAAUUUAAUAAGCAUGAGAAUUAGGAAAAAAAAAACUACUAGUUAACAGUUUAAUUAAUUACAAGUACUAAAGAGUUCGCAAGAAUUUCACACGAUGCUAAAUGUAGUAGGAUUUACAAAGUUUUUCCCUAAUAUUAAUCUACAUGCCAUUAAUGAAUUAAAAUAAACCGUGACAACCACUGUAAUUAUCACUUAAUAUAUCUAAACACAUAUUUCCAAAACUCAAUACAAUGGAGCUUAAGGUUACAACAAACUGUCCAUUAAUCAAAUUUUCCUAACAAGACAAAAAAAAAAACUAAAUGAAAUUGUCUAAAACUUUAUUAGAGCUGGUUCUAUUUCAGCUGAGCCCUCUCCCAUAGAAUCAAUCUCCUGGAUCUUACUCCAUUUGCCAGAUUCUCACCUUACAUGUUCCUGAUGCAAUCAUGACUUACUCUGAUUUACACAUGGGUUGCUGUGGGCUGAUUCCAUGUCCUUAACUCAAACAAUGCUCAAUGGUCACUACUCAAAAUGCCGUAAAUUUCAUAAUAACAAUUAGUUCAAUUGAAUGCAAAUAAACCAAGUCUAGAUCCAACUUUAUAAAGGUUAUGCAGAUUUAACUCAUUUCAAUCAUGAACUAAGCUUAUACAAAUAUCAUUUAGCUUGAAAUCAAUUAGCUAUACCUUAACUAACUAAAAAAAACACAGCAACAGAAUCAAUAAGCACAGCUAAACAGAAUUCACAGUAGCAUUUGAAAUAGAAUUCCAGCUUUCAUUAAAUAUCAAGUUCAACAUUUGAGGUUUCAGAAUAUACCUAGAUGCAGAAAACAGCACUUAACAAGACCAAAUAAAGGUCAGAAAACCAGAAGGGCAAAGCUCAGCAAUCCAAAAACAGCAGCAGCAAACAAAUAAUAACAAAGAACAGCUCCAGAAUCAAACUUCAAACUUGAGAUAUCUUAGGAAUUCUAUGUGUGUUUUUUCUACUAUUAAUGCAGGAAUUGAAAAGGAAAAUGCAAGAGUUUUCUAUUGAGAAUGCAGAGAAUUCAAUGUGUUUUCAAAUAAAUCAGUGUGUGUGUUAUGAAAGAAUGUGAGUGCCUUUAUAUAGAGCAGGGAUGUAAAGGGAUAGGAAUGAGAGGUAUUCCCUUAAAAU